UUAUUGAUGUCAAAUUCCAUAGGGGAGAUCCAUCUUGAAAUGCUAACACAUAUAAAUGCUUUGAAUAGUUCGCAUAAUUUUCUAACUAAAUUGAUAGUUGUUCGUGUUACUGAAGAUCAAAUGGAUGAAGAUACGGAUGCAUAUCAUAGAUUCUAUGGCAUGGUGAGAAAGAUAAAAAUGAGGAAAUAUGAACGUGAGAGGAUGCAAAAGAUAAGAAGAUCAGUUUUGACAUGGGAGAUACUGGAACAAGAAAUGGAUGAAUUCCUUCUGGAGAAUUAUUCAAGAUGAUUUAGACUUGAAUAUUCAUAACGUCUCGUUUGCUGAAACUGCCGAGGCACCAUCAGAUUUGAUCUUUCCACUAUUGAGGUACCGAAAGGAGUGGUUAGCUUGGUCAUUAAAGCAAGAAACUAUAUUCAAAGGGGGUAUUCUUGCUGAUGAAAUGGGAAUGGGGAAGACGGCUGAAGCCAUAGCACUUGUGCUUGCUCAACGCAAAUUAAAGAAAGCAACUAGUGGUUCCAAUAUAUUGCCGUCUUCACCCGGUACUUCCUAGGAACUCCCAACAGUAAAAGGAACUCUUGUUGUAUGUCCUGUAAUUGGAGCAACGCAAUGGUUUCACGGGAUUGAACGUUGCACCACUAAAGGAAGCAACAAAACUUUUGUGUAUCAUGGCACCAACAGGGAGAAAUGUAUGUAUAAACUGGAGGAAUAUGAUUUUGUCAUUACUACGUACUCCACUAUCGAGGCUGACUAUUGGCCAAAGAAGUCAUAACAGAACAGCAAGAACUCAAAAUGGAGUGAUGAUGGUUCUAUUGAAAAUUCAGCCUGGGUUGGUGAAGAUGUUUCCACAAGGAAGUCAGUUCUGCAUUAAGUGAAGUGGGAGCACAUCAUUUUGGACGAGGCAAGUCAUAGAUUCAUGCAUUAAGUUUUUGUUUUCUUAACUUGGCAUUUCCAGAUACAUGGUGAUCAUUUACUGUUUAUGCAAUUUUUUUCAAGUCGAUCAUGUUAGCUACUGAAAAAUAUGCUAACAGCUAUGCUGGUCAUUAGUUUGUGAAGAAUCUUAUGGUGGUUAGGAAGAAACCUAUAAGUUAAUUGCUGAAUAAUCUUAAUAAAAUUUUAGCUAUUAAGACACAACAUAAUGUAAGAACAUGGAAUUUCAUCUUCAAUUCUAGUUUGAACACCCUUUUAUAUUUUACAUGGACAUUUUGUUCUCUUUGUUGCCCUGAAACAAUUCUGCAUGCGUUUUGUAGUCUAAGAGUAGAACUCCUAAAUUUCAUGUGACACAAGAUCUUUUAUCUGAAAUGUUCUUAACUGAUUGAAGUUUUGUGGCAUAUAUAGGCUCGUUAUAUCAAAACUGUAGACAUCAAACCACAAAGGCGGUUCUUGCUUUAGAAUCUUCUUAUAAGUGGGCCUUAACUGGUACACCCCUGCAAAACCGUAUUGGAGAAUUGUACUCAUUUGUAGGUUAACUUCUGCUACUUUAACUACAUUUUCCUUACUUUGAAUUGGUUUGAGCUUAAUUAAAUUAUUUACUUCUAUACAGGUCCGUUUCUUACAAGUUAUCCCUUAUGCUUAUUACUUUUGCAAAAAUUGUGAGUGCAGGGGACUUGAUUUUAGGUAGACACAAAGGUUCCUUUUUAAAUCCUUGGUCCUACCCGGCUAGUCAGCUACCCUGAGGGUGAAAUAAGCAACGACUCAAAAUUAUUUUGCUUUAUAUUGUUAUUUCUGAAAUAUCUUGUGAGGACCGUCCUUUGAUAAAUUCGACAGCUUUUCUGAUGUGUGCCCACAUUGCCCUGACCAACGUGCACUCCACUUCCUCUGGUGGAGGAAAGUAAGUUAAUAACAUACAUACUUUUGAGGCUUCAUCUGAUUGCUGACAUAAUAAAGUUGACACGUCUUCUUUUUCUAGUAUAUUACAAAACCUUUAGUGACUAUGGGACACGAGAAUGACGGUGGAGAUGCUAUGGUUUUGUUGAAGCACAAAAUUCUAAAAAGCCUAUUGUUAAGACGUACCAAAAAGGAAAGAGUUGUUGAUCUUUCACUUCCCACAAAGACUGUAAGUUCUGUCUUGCAGUGGUGUCAUGUGCUUCAAUUUUGAUAAGAAUCUUGUAUUAUUGGUUACUAUUUUUGGGUUCAGGUUAUUAUGAGAAAAGAUUCUUUGGAUGUGAGUGAAUUUAACUACUACAAGUCAUUGCACAAUAGAAGUCGGGAACAGUUCGAUAGGUAUUUUUCAAACUCGAGCUCUUCUUCCUUGCAAGUCCAAUUUCUUGGCUUCGUCUGCACCAAUUUGCUGGCUCAUUGUUUUUCUUUUUUUUAGCUGCAUAUCCUGUUUCUUGUUUAUGCAUGGAUUACUUUCAUUAAAUUUGUUUCCUAUAAUUGCUUGUCCUUGAGUAGUUAUUAAACAUAUUGGGUUAGUAUCUUGGUUUUUAACUUAAGAUCUUAUACAUCUUUUUCUUCCCAUAAAAUUCUUAAUCAUUUGAGUCAUUGCCUGCCAAAAAGUAAGGGAGCAAAAAUAUUUUUAUUUCUAACUAUGUCUGCAUUUUGUAUUUUGGUGCAGACUAGUCCAGGCUGGAACUCUGAUGAAUAACUAUGGUCACAUUUUUGCUAUGAUCACACGCCUACGGCAGGUACCAACAUUCCUACUCCUCAUUCUUUUUCUUACAACAUUCCUACUCAUGACCCUCAUGAUUUGGUCACAUAAUCUCUAUCCAAUUUUCUUUUCUUGCAAAAAUUCAUUUUCUGCUCUUUCCCAUAGUCCUUUUUAAUUGACAAUGCAUUUCUUAUGUGUGCAUAGAUAAGAAUAUUGUGGAACUUCUUUUUGUAUCUUCUGUUUCAUGUCGCUUUUCUGCUGUAAUUUUUGAAUAAACAUUUCUCGGUAUAAGCUUAUCACUAUGAUAUUACAUUGUUUUUCCCACUGGGGGGUUAGAUGUGUAGUUGGAAGAUAAUAAUGGAUAGUUAAUUAAAUUUGUCAAGGGGUUUAUCAAAAAAAGUUGUUUGUCAAAAAUUUGGUCAAGGAAAUUAUGGGACCAACAACAACAACAACAACAACAUACCCAGUGAAAUCCCACUAGGUGGGGUCUGGGGAGGGUAAAGUGUACGCAGACCUUACCACUACCUCGUGGAGGUAGAGAGGCUGUUUCCGGAAGACCCUCAGCUCAAGUGUAACAAAGCCAAGUAAAGGAAGAGAAUUAUAUAAAGCAUAACAUCCAAUAAGAAAAAUAGUGCAUAAUCAACAAAGGGGGCAAUACAUCAAGAAAAUAAUGCGAGAAGUGAAACGCAGUAAACAACAUAAGGCAAAAGGGAUCACAUACAAGAACUACAAGUGUACGGCUAAGACUCCUACAAACGCUAACAACCCAUACCCUCGCCAGGAAAGACAGCACGCUAACCCUACUAGCCUUCAACCUUAAUACGUGACCUCCACUCCUUCCUAUCUAGAGUCAUGUCCUCGGUAAUGUGUAGCUGGGCCAAGUCCUGUCUAAUCACCUCUCCCCAAUACUUCUUGGGCCUACCUCUACCCCUCCGCGUACCCUCUACUACCAGCCCCUCGCACCUCCUCACUGGGGCGUCCGCGCCCCGUCUCUUCACAUGUCCAAACCAUCUCAGUCUCGCUUCCCUCAGCUUGUCCACCACAGAGGCCACUCCCACCUUCUCCCGGAUAACCUCAUUCCUAAUCUUAUCGCUCCUAGUGUGCCCACACAUCCAUCUCAACAUCCUCAUCUCCGCAACAUGCAUUUUCUGAACAUGUGAGUUCUUGACUGGCCAACACUCCGCUCCAUACAACAAGGACGGUCUAACUACCACUCUGUAGAACUUACCUUUAAGUUUAGGCGGGAUUUUCUUAUCACACAAGACUCCAGAGGCAAGCCUCCAUUUCAUCCAAGCAGCCCCAAUGCGAUGUGUGACAUCAUCGUCGAUGUCACCACUUUCUUGGAUUACAGACCCAAGAUACUUAAAACUUUCAGGGAGUGAAACGCAGUAAACAGCAAAAGGCUAGGACUGCUCCAAACGCUAACAACCCAAACCCUCGCAAGGGAAGACAACCCGCUAACCCUACUAACCUUCAACCUUAAUACGCGACCUCCACUCCUUCCUAUCUAGAGUCAUGUCCUCGGUAAUGUGUAGCUGGGCCAAGUCCUGUCUAAUCACCUCUCCCCAAUACUUCUUGGGCCUACCUCUACCCCUCCGCGUACCCUCUACUACCAGCCCCUCGCACCUCCUCACUGGGGCGUCUGCGCCCUGUCUCUUCACAUGUCUAAACCAUCUCAGUCUCGCUUCCCUCAGCUUGUCCACCACCGAGGCCACUCCCACCUUCUCCCGGAUAACCUCAUUCCUAAUCUUAUCGCUCCUAGUGUGCCCACACAUCCAUCUCAACAUCCUCAUCUCCGCAACAUGCAUUUUCUGAACAUGUGAGUUCUUGACUGGCCAACACUCCGCUCCAUACAACAAGGACGGUCUAACUACCACUCUGUAGAACUUACCUUUAAGUUUAGGCGGGAUUUUCUUAUCACACAAGACUCCAGAGGCAAGCCUCCAUUUCAUCCAAGCAGCCCCAAUGCGAUGUGUGACAUCAUCGUCGAUGUCACCACUUUCUUGGAUUACAGACCCAAGAUACUUAAAACUUUCUUUCUUAGGAAUGAUCUGUGUGGCAAGUCUCACAUCCACAUCUGCCUCAUCCAAUGCAUCACUGAAUUUGCACCCCAAAUAUUCUGUUUUGGUCCUACUCAACCUGAACCCUUUGGACUCCAGCGUUUGUCUCCACACCUCCAACCUCGCAUUAACUCUGUCCCGCGUCUCAUCAAUCAGUACUAUGUCAUCCGCAAAUAACAUACACCAUGGGACAUUCUCCUGAAUGGACCGCGUCAACUCAUCCAUCACCAAAGCAAAUAGAAAAGGGCUAAGGACUGAUCCCUGGUGCAACCCCAUCUCAACUGGGAAAUGUUCCGAGUCUCCUCCAACCGUUCUAACCCGAGUCUUGGCUCCACCGUACAUGUCCUUUAUCGCCCUAAUAUAAAUCAUCGGGACACCUUUAGCCUCCAAGCACCUCCAGAGGACAUUCCUUGGCACCUUGUCAUAUGCCUUUUCAAGGUCAAUAAACACCAUAUGAAGGUCUCUCUUCCUUUCUCUAUAUUUUUCUACCAGUCUUCGCAUCAGAUGGAUGGCUUCGGUAGUCGAUCGUCCCGGCAUGAAUCCAAACUGAUUCUCAGAGUCAUUUUUUUAACUGCUCAAAUAUGUAAAAUUGGUGUAAAGAUUAGACUAUGGAAGACUUAUUUGAUGUGCAUUCAAGAUUACCAGAUGACUGCUAAAGGUUAUUAAACAUAGUUGCUUGCUUAAACUAUUUUCUCAUGUCAAAGCUAAUGUUUUGUACUAACCUUUUCUCUGUGAACUUAAUUUUGAAGUGUCUGCUUCUAGUUUUCUUGUCCUUCUAUUAUAUGAACGCAAAUACAAGCACAGGCCUUUCUUUUGCUUCGUCUGAACUUGCUUCUCAUAAAUAUAUUUGUCUUACUAUGGGUCAUCAGCCAAAUUUGAUUGCAGAAAAUGUCUGACCAAUAUAAUGUCUUUCUUUAAUCGGCAGGCAACUGAUCAUCAUAACCUUGUGAUCUACUCUAGAAAAGAAUUGGCUAGUGGCAAUAAAGAGGCUGGAGAUGUUGAAAAAUUAUGUGACUUAUGUCAUGAUGCAGUGGAAGAUCCAGUAGUGAGUUUGCGCACCUCUACCCACUCCCUCCUCCCAAACCAAGAAAUACGAAAAGAGAAGAAAAGGAAAGAAACAAAUCCAGAAACUUCAAGCACCUUUCAAUUGCUCAUUGUCAAUUUGAUAGCUCUCUCCUUUUUGCAUUUAUUAAAUUAUUUUUCUGUUAGCCAUUCAAGGUCCAAGAAUUUCAAGCACCUUCAAGUCCUUCUAAAUUAGACAGAGUCUUCUUUGAACUGUGCAUCUCUUUUUGAUUGUUGCAGGUUACUUCUUGCAGGCACGUGUUUUGCAAGGCAUGUUUGAUAGGCUUAGCUGAAAGUGUGGAGAAAAUGCCAUGCCCUUCAUGUACCAAACUCCUCACAUUUGACUUCACUGCAAAUAAUGAUAAGGGAGAUUCUAAUUCUAAACCUACUGUCAAAGGGUUUAGGUCCUCAAGUAUUUUGAACGAAAUUCAGCUUGAUAAAUUCCAAACGAGCACUAAAAUAGAUGCUUUGGUAUGCAAUUGCAUUCUACACUCUCAUCAUAUUCUCCUCGGUUUGCUUUUCUUCUUUGCCUUAUGGAUUUCUUUCCUUUUUACAAAGAGAGCAAGAGAUGUCAUGUCACAUCAUCAUAUGCAGGCGCUAAACCAUUAUUUAUUGUGAUUCUCAGGCUUAUUCCAUUAAUAGAUUCAGAACUAAGAAAAUGUUCUAACCCAAGGGGUGUGAGCUCGUGAUCUUGUAGCUUCAUCAUGUCCUAUUGCAUUGAAGAAAAUCAAACUGCUUUGAAACCCACUCAGUGGAACAAGUAUUGAAGAAUCUCAGUCUUGUUAAUUUGAUUGAUGUUCCCCUUAACUCUUUGAUUCUUCUACUUGUGAAUAAUAUUGCUAAAUACAUUCUUGAUGCUCACUUUUAAUUUUAUUGAAUGUAUGGGGAAGAAAUUAGGUUCAUGGUUGAAAGGGAUGGUUCUGCAAAAGGAAUAGUUUUUUGCCAGUUCACAUCAUUUUUGGAUCUGAUACAGUAUUCUCUUAAUGUAAGAUAUAAUAGUACUUUCUCCUUCCUACUUUCCAUUCCUCUUUUCAGACUAAUAAAAAAGAUGCUCGUAUUGUGUGUAUUCAGCUGUCGGGCAUCAAUUGUGUUCAAUUAGUUUGAUCCAUGUCUAUUGCCGCAAGAGAUGCUGCAGUUAACAAAUUCACUAAGGAUUCAGAUUGCAGGAUAUUACUUAUGAGUUUAAAAGCUGGAGCUGUUGCUCUCAAUCUUACAGUUGCAUCAAAUGUAAGGAUCUAUUUUCUUUCUCUGGGUACUGCCCUAAAUUCUUAAAGCUUGUGCGUAUCUAGUGUUGCAUUCCUAUUAUAUUUCCUGUUAUUUGGUUUGUUUGAUAUACCUAACUUCACUUCUCUGCACACUCAAAGAACCAGCUCAAGAUACUAUUGUGACUCGUAUUUAUCUGUUGAAUAAGCACAUGACACAUUUCAUGUUAGGUGGCUCAUCUCUUGAUCCUUUCUAGGUUUUCUUAAUGGAUCCUUGGUGGAAUCCUGCGGUGGAGCAGCAAGCCCAAGAUAGAAUCCAUCGAACAGGGCAAUAUAAACCUGUCUGGUGUGUUUUGCCUUUCUUGUACUUUCGAGGCCAUUGAAUGGAGCUUAUUAUUUUCUUCUAAUUUGUAGGAUUGUGAGAUUUGUGAUAGAGAAUACGAUUGAAGAGAACAUCAUAGAGUUGCAAGAGAAGAAGAAAUUACUUUUUGAAGGGCAAGUGUCCUUUCCUUACAGUCGUCACAUAGUUGCAUGUGUUGUGACAAAAAUAAAGCAUUUUGAUGAUUUUCCUUGCAAAUUGUUAUUAUCAAUCUUUUUAUUAGAUUACUUCUUUGCUCCCACCUUCCCGUCCUCCGCUCUUUCUCUUCCUAAGGUUCUUCAGAGGCCUUCACAGUUCUGAAUUCAGCUGCUUUAGUAAAGAAUAUUAAGAAAAAGGUUCCUUACUAUAAAAAGGAACUAAUUUUAGUACCUUUACUAUAGCACCACACUUUAAACUUUUGUUUUUUGUUCGCAUCAACCACACUUUCAAACUAAUACCAGAGAGAGUUGUUUGGAAGGUAAACACUCCUAAGGUUAUGAGUUCGAGAAAAGGCCAUUUCAAGAAAUCUAUCAACAAAAAUAUAAGAAGGAACUGAAAGUAUUACAAUUCAAAGUCUAACAUGUCUCGAAUAUUGAGUGGGUUAACCUGAGAAAGAGAUCCGGACAAACCUUCCAAAAAGCAUAGUAGAAAUUAACCACAAUGUCAUCUUUAUGGAUGACUGCUCUACCCAUAAGACCAUCUACAAGUGCUUUCAUUAUGAAUCAAUUGAUCACAUAUAAUUAGACUAGGCAAACUUAGGAAGUGAUCUGAAUCGCUAUCGUAUCAUUGAUAUGAUACAGACUUAUUUGUGGAAUACGUGAAGUAUUUAGCCAAAACCUCAAUAAAUUAGUUGUUAGCUUAUUAUCCCCAAAACACUACAUGACUAACACGAAAGAGGUUCCAUUUAUAGAACCCCAGAAAAAAUCUAGCCCUCAUUACUCCAAAUCACAUCAACCAUGGACCAUUACACGUAUAGAAACAAAUAAAAAUGACAAAGGUCAGAAACAAAUAGAUCUAUAAGGCAGAUAUUUAAAAUUCAAAUUUGGCGUUGAACAAAAAAAAAAAAAUCAUGUGUGAGCCACUUUUAUAACGAGGAUAUAUCAGCUCUAAAUUACAAAGUUGAGGAAUACUUCAUGCCUUAUACCUAAAUAAAAAGAGAGUACAUAAGUUUUUUUUCCGUGAUAGAGUACAUAAGUUGAGUGAGUGCUUUCAUGGUGCAUUUUUCAAGCUUGUCAAGUUGGAAUUAAUAAAUGAUGAGAUGUUUAUAUAAAAUACUUCCUCUGUUCCUUUUUAUGUGUCACGUUCUUAGAUUUCACUUGCAAUAAGAAACUAAGUUUACAAUUCUACCCUUAUUUAAUGUUUUUUUGAAAUCAACUUUUCAAUAAAUGAUAAAUAAAUACAUCUUUUGUUUUUUAAUUUGUUUGUUAGAUUUUUUUUAUCAAAAUCAAAUUUUAUAGAGUAAUGAAAUAGUGAGAGUAAUUAAUCAAUGUAUGAAAUAAUUACAAUGAACAUUAAUUACUUAUUAAUUUUCCUACGUUGGUCAAAUAUCUAUUUUCAAGACUAAUUAACUAUCAAGGGUAUAAUAGAAAAAAUAUUGUAAUUUAUACAUUGAUUUUAUGAAAUGACAAGUAUUAUGGAAAAACUUUUUAUAGUAAGAAUGACAUAUAAAAAAUUACAAUAAGAGUAUAAAAAUUUGGGAAAAUUUUAAAUUCUUAAAAGUUACCAAAAAAUAGAAUUAGGCCAAAAACUAGUUUUUUUUUGUAGUCCUAUUCCUAAAUGUGUUUGCUUCUUUUUCAAAUCCUAUUCCUACGCCGCCUUUUGUUUUAAUUCCUAUUCCUAAAUGGUUUGCCUCUCCUUUUCAAAUCGAAUUUCUACUUCGAUUCGAAUUUGAUUUUUCUAUAAAUAAAUAAAAUUCACAAUUCACAAAUCAAAACCUAGAACAGAAAAUAUAAAAUCGGCAUGGAUGUAGUGAAACAGAUGAUAGAGGAACGGAAAAGUGUAACCCAACAGGUUGGUCGCUGGAAAUUUUUCAAUAAAUUGGAAAUGGAACAGAAACUACUACAAACACGUCGUCAAGAGGAAAAACGUGAAGCUGAAGCAAAAAACCUGCGUAAAACGCAAUUACAACAGCAACAGAUGAAGAAUGAUACAUCAAAAUUAUUGAAUUCCAAAACUGACAUUCAAUGCCUGAUCAAACCGGAAUCUUCUCCAUCGGCUUUGCUUCCACAAGAAGAAGUUAUUCGCCGGCUUAGGUUUCUGAAACAUCCGGUGACUUUAUUCGGAGAAGAUGAAGAUGCAAGGUUUGAUAGGUUGAAUGUUGUGUUGAAAGCUGGAUUGUUUGAAGUUGAGGAUAGUGAUAUGACUGAAGGGCAAACGAAUGACUUUUUGAGAGAUGUUUUGGAGUUGAAGAAGUCACGGAUGUUGAAGCGGAAGGCGACAGAUCAGGAUAAAGAUCGUGAUGACGAAGAUUUGAAGAGGAUGAAAACUAAUUUUGAGGAUUUGUGUGAUGAGGAUAAGAUUUUGGUGUUCUACAAAAAGUUGUUGAAUGAGUGGAAUCAGGAGCUGGAUAAGAUGAGUCCUGAGGCUAAAAAUCAGAAAAUGGUGGCUACUUUUAUGCAGUGUGCUAGGGAGUUGAAUCCGUUAUUUAAUUUGUGCCGGAAAAGGUUACUUAAUGAUGACAUUAGGCAAGCACUAGUUGUGAUGGUUGAAUGUUGUAUGAAUAGAGAAUAUAGUGCUGCAAUGGAUCAAUAUCUUAAUAAGAUAGCAAUUGGUAAUGCACCUUGGCCUAUUGGUGUUACUAUGGUUGGUAUUCAUGAACGAUCAGCGCGUGAGAAGAUUCAUGCAAAUAGUGUUGCUCAUGUCAUGAAUGAUGAGACAACUAGGAAGCUUCUAUAUUCAGUUAAAAGACUGGUGACAUUCCGUCAACAACGCUACCCAACAAUGCCAUCCAAAUCUGUGGAGUUCAAUAGCCUUGCAAAUGGCAGUGACUUACACUCUGUGCGUGCGCAAGAAUCAACUCCUCAAACCUCAGAAGAAAGGCUUCCAAUAAUGCCUAUGCCUGCACAAGGGACGUCUAUAGUUUAAUUUGCUUUUGAGCUCUGUUUAUUCUGUAUGUUGAUUUUUCACAGACUAAAGUGGUUUACUUUUUCUCCUUGAAGUUGAAACUAUGCCUAUUCAAAGUUCUUAUAUCAAUGUCUUUUCUUCUUUUUUCUAUUGAAAUGAAAUAAUAUAAAAAACCUGCAAAGUCAAUUGGUGAAGUUAACAUGAAAAAAUUAUGGCAUAAUACAUAUAUUGGCCCUUAAACUUGGCUUCAAAUUUUAACUUUGACCUCCAACUUUCAUAAUGCACAAAUAGGCACUUUAACUAUUCUACCUUUAAAUAAAUAAACACGCGAUUUUUGGAGCCAAAAGCGUGAAAUGCAAACGCUCCCACGUGUAUUAGUGACCCACUCAAUGGCUGCCAACUAAUUCAAUGUAUGUGGGUCCGUUUUCCUGUCUAUUUGACACCUUUUCAAUUUGCCAUGCAUUUAUUUCAAUCUCUUUUAAUGGAUAUGAACCCCACCUCACUAAUUCCAUUCCCUUCUCUUUAUUUCUGCCUCACAACUUCUUCCUUCACUUUCAUUUUGUGGUAAAUUAAUAUUUGAAAAUGUCAAUUAUUCAAUUUAUAAUUUAUUUGUCUUAUUUUUUUUUUUUAAUUUAUGUGUUUUCAAAGAUUACAUUUAAGAUACUAUAAAUUAUUAGACUUAAUAUUUAAAAAAAUUUAUUACAAAUUUGAAAAUUACGUAAUAUACACUAUUAAUUACAAUAAUUACUAAUUUAAAAUAUUUUUUCAAUCUAAUAAGAGCCUACAAACACACUAUACGUUACAUUUAAAAGUACAAUAAAUCAUAAUUAAAAUAUAUAUUUUUUAGAAAAUUUUUUGUUGACUCUUGAAAUUCUAUUGGUGACACAUGAAUUUGAAUAGAUGGAACAAUAUAUAUUAUUGAAAGUUAACAAUACUAUAAGUUAUUCGAAAAUGACGUUAAUGAUUUUUAUAAAUUAUAACAAAUUAGCAACUAAAAUAUUUUUGAAAAAACAUACAAAAAAUUAGUUGAUGAAUCAGCCACCACACCGUGGACAUGUAUGCUUUUUGUGAUUAAAAUUGAGUUUAAGGGUUAUUUUGGUCAUUUAAGGAUUUUUCUUUAAACUUCAAGCUUUAUUAAUAGUGAUGUAGUCAUUUUAGAGUUAACAUGAACGUUUACUACCAUAUAAAUAUAUAUAAUUUAUUCAAAUUUAAAAUUUAAAACUAUUUAUUUAACGUCAAUUAAAAAUUAACUUUUAAAUUAAUUAUUAGCACGGACUCUUCAUCACUAGUAUAUAAUAUAAUAAGCGGGAAUAGAGAGGACCUUGGGGUCGACACAUGUUCCUUUUUCCUUCUGGACAAAAAAANNNNNNNNNNNNNNNNNNNNNNNNNNNNNNNNNNNNNNNNNNNNNNNNNNNNNNNNNNNNNNNNNNNNNNNNNNNNNNNNNNNNNNNNNNNNNNNNNNNNNNNNNNNNNNNNNNNNNNNNNNNNNNNNNNNNNNNNNNNNNNNNNNNNNNNNNNNNNNNNNNNNNNNNNNNNNNNNNNNNNNNNNNNNNNNNNNNNNNNNNNNNNNNNNNNNNNNNNNNNNNNNNNNNNNNNNNNNNNNNNNNNNNNNNNNNNNNNNNNNNNNNNNNNNNNNNNNNNNNNNNNNNNNNNNNNNNNNNNNNNAAUAUAAAAAGGGUUUAAUUGUCCUUUCAAUGCUUUUUUUUACUGUUGGCCCCCUCGAUUUUUACAUCUGACGCGCCUAAUUUGAGUGUAUUUCACGCAUUUUGCCAGGUAGGAUCCGAGUGUUUUUUUGUUUAAGUUUUGGAUAGUUAAAGUGCCUAUUUGUGCACUUACAAAGUUAAAGGUCAAAGUUAUAAUUUGAAGCCAAGUUAAGGGUCCAAUUUAUGUAUUAUGCCAAAAAUUAUACAUAGUUGUUAUUGAAUAAAAUUAAGGGAAAAUGCAUAAGUACCCCCCCAGCCUAUGCCCGAANNNNCCCCCAGCCUAUGCCCGAAAUCUCAGAGACACACCUAACCUUUACUAAGGUCCUAUUACCCCCUCGAACUUAAUUUAUCUAUAAUAUUCUACCCCUUUUCGGCCUACGUGGCACUAUCCUUGAAAAAAAUGUUAACGUGCGCUGGGCCCACAAGAUAGAGCCACGUAGGCCAAAAAGGGGUAGAAUAUUACAUAUAAAAUAAGUUCGGGGGGGUAAUAGGACCUUAGUAAAGGUUAGGUGUAUCUCUGAGAUUUCGGGCAUAGGCUGGGGGGAUACUUAUGCAUUUUCCCUAAAAUUAAUUAAAAGUCGGAGUCGCAACAACCCCACACUUAAAACUUAAGCAUUCAUACAAGUUAAGCUCAGACUAAACGUUACACACAUUCAUAAUCAGUGACAGACAAUCAUAAGGGUGUGGGGCACCCGACUCUCCCCGCGCUGUGUCAAUUGUAAACCAUAAGGUUCUCUAGCAUAUGUCCUGGCAGUAUAGCAUGGUAUCCACCCCUAUGAUAUGCACCUAGUCGCACAAAAUAAGCGAAAACAAACAUUGAACUAUCUAAACAAACUGACAUGAUUUUCUUAGGUGGGCAAUUAUCAAGAAGAUCAGCUACAGACAAUACAAUGCAAUUUAGUGCAGUUCAGUUUAGCCAAGAUAGUUUAGCUUACAAGAAAUAUGCCCGACAUUGACAUUAUGCCCUAACAGUGCAAACAAAACAAUACUAGACUCUCCUUCAAUACUAUCUAAAACAGCAAAAUACAAGAAAGAAACAAAAAGGCUUAAUACAUGCCAACAAAUUUCAUUUAGUCACUUGUUACUUAGCUGAAGCUUAAUUUGAUAGCCUUUCAAGGUCCAAGAACUUCGAGCAACUUCAAAAUUGUUCAUUGUCAGCUUGAAUAUUACAUGUUCACUCUUUAAAUGCCAUUUACUUGUGUUGAACAGAUUUAAAUACUUUUUCCUUAGGGAAAAGGCAAAUCUGUUAAAAGUUUGGCUCAUCUAUGCCAUACCGUUUGAGAAAAGGCUCAUCCAUGCCAUUAUUUUUUAACACCGGUUUUGUAAAAUUAUUUUUAUCACAACAUGACCCCAAACAACUUUUAACCCUUUUCAAUUGAGGUUUUGAAUCAAAUGUACUCUUUUUACUUCUUCCUAGUCAAGAACACAUGAAGAACGUCAAAAACUUCCAAAUUUCCAACUUCUUCAAUUCUAAACAAAUCACCUCAAAUUUCGGGCACGUCAUUCAUUUUUAUUUUUUUCUUUUAAAAAACGGAAAAGGGUCAAAUAUACCCCUAUACUAUUGGAAAUAGUUUAUAUAUACCCUUCGUUAUACUUUCGGGUCAUAUAUACCCCUCCCGUUAUACUUUGAUACAUAUAUACCCUAAUUUAAACAGAAUAACACAUGUCUGCUUAAAAAUCAAAUAACCCAUCCCUAAUUUUAAUUACCCAAUUCCUUUGAAACCCACCCAUUUCCUACUGACCCACCUUCAAAGAAACCCAUUUUCUUAAGUCAUCUUUUUUAUCUAAAAUUUUCAUUAAAAUCAAGCCUCAACCACCGUGAAAGCUCACUGUGAAACUCAAGGAAGAAGUGAAAAGCUAAAACCAUCUAGACUGAAUCCUCAACUUUCGGCAACCAACACCAGCAAGAGCAUCCCACAAUAUAAAAUGGAAAGCUUUUCGUAACACAAAUGAUGCAAAUACCUUUUAAGGAAAGUUGAUAUUGAAGCUUAUAGUGAGAAAUUAUAGUCAAAGGAGAUGGUGUGGAGAUUUAGCAUCUGGUGUGUUGAACUUAUAUUUUUUUUACUUAUGGAGUACUCCCUUGGUACUGUUAAUAUUAAUAAAAUUAUUUUAUCCUAGUUAAAAAAUAAAAAUGGAAGCAAUGCUUCUCACUUCCUCCUCUAGUUUCACAGUGAGCUUUUGUGGCUGAUUUUAAUGGAGGUUUCGCUUCCUCCUUUAAUCCUCUAGUUUCACAGUGAGCUUUUGUGGCUGAUUUUAAUGGAGGUUUUAGAUAAAGAAGAUGACUUGUGAAAUUGGAUUUGGUUGAAGGUGGAUCACCCGGAAAAUGGGUUUUAAAUGGGUGGGUUUCAAAGGAAUUGGCUAAUUAAAAUUUGGGGAUGUGUUAUUUGAUUUUUAAGCUGACAUGUGUCAUUCUGUUAAAAUUAGGGGUAUAUAUGUACCAAAGUAUGACGGGAGGGGUAUAUAUGACCAGAAAAUAUAACGAAGGGUAUAUAUAAACUAUUUCUAAUAAUACAGGGGUAUAUUUGACCCUUUUCCGUUUAAAAAAAGCCUAAAUUCUUAAAUCAUUUGUGGAGUUAAAAAAACCCACCCGUAUUAUAAAAAUAUUCCAAAAAAAAACUGAAAUCAGUCCCAAAAUUUCAAAAUUUUGCUUUGAUUCUUGUUUUUAUUGUUAUUUUUUAUACUAGCUCGUUGUUCCCAGUGUUUUUGAAUCUAUGUUCAAAAUUUUAAGUGAUCUGGUGUUGUGAAGAAAAUUCUACCAUUAAAGUAUGUUGAAACUUUUAACUUUUGAAGAAAUUUCAAGUGGGUCUUAUUGAAUUAGGUUGAAUUCGAGAUCAAAAGAUAUUGACUUUAGGUAUCUAGCUCGGAGGGAAGCUACUUUUGAAAUUUGAGAUGAUUUCGUGAAGAACCGAAGAAGUUGGAAAUUUUUAGAGUUCUUAGUAUUUUCAUUUGUUCUUGGUGUUCUUGAGGAAGAAUAAACAAAAGGAGUAUAUUUGAUCCAAACUUCCGAUUGAAAAAUGUCAAAAGUUGUUUGGGUCUUGUUGAGGUAAAAAAACUAAUGUCAUGAAUGAACCUUUUCUCAAAUAACAAUGACAUAGAUGAGCCAAACUUUUAACGGAGAACAUAAUUGAGCCUUUUCAAAUUCUAAUGACAUUAAAACCUUUACCUUUUCCUUACAACAAUGUCUGGAUCAAUUUCUAAACAACUAUUUCGAAAAAGAAUAGGUUUGUUGGAAAUGAUAGUUUUCUUUUGUUUUACUUUAAUUCACUAAAUAUUACUCCUUCCGUCCCAUUUUAUGUGAGGUAGUUUGACUCGACAUGAAGUUUAAGAAAGAAAGAAAGACUUUUAAAACUUGUAGUCCAAAAUGAAUGAUAGAAAUUUGUGUGGCUGUAAAUCAUUUCAUUAAGGGUAAAAUAAACAUUUAUAGUUAAAUUGUUACUUAGUAUAGAAAUGUGUCAUUCUUUUUUGGAACUGACUAAAAAAGAAAAUAAGUCACAUAAAUUGGGACAGAAGGAAAAUUGGAUAUCAAUUUCUAAAUAAUAAUUAAAAAAAAUAUCAAUUUUUAAACAUAAAAAAAUGUUACAGUAGGUAAGAAGUCCUAUAUUGAUUGGGAAAUGGACAGGAAUUCUGCUUAUAUGUAGUUGGAAAAUUUUUCUUCUCAUGAAUUAGAUUUUGUGGUUGAGUUAGUUGCAAGUGUCAUAUAUUUAUAUGGUAUCAUAGCCAGAUCCAUCCUAAAACCAUCCAUUUUUGGGCUCCUGAUCUACGCUCUAGUUGGGCUUUUUGGGCUCUCGGUCCACCCUCCACUUGGGCCUGGGCAUGAAGGAGGUGGUUCCCUUUUGGACUCUCGGUCCACGCUCCAGUUGGGCCUUUUGGGCUUUUGGUCCACGCUCCAGCUAAGCCUGGGCGUGAAUGGGUAAAAGGUCCACAAUGAUUGACGAAUGUACUAGUUGUCUGAUUUCUUUGUGCUUAUGAAUCCUCCAAUUCCAGGUUCGUCUUCUUGUUUGUUUUCUUUUGAAGCUCUUGAGUUUCUUGAAAGUUUGGUUGAAAUUGAAUGAUUUAAAAUGACCCAAAAUGGAAAAUAAUGAAUGACAUGUAAAUUGUAAUAAAAUUUGAAUAGGUUCAUCAUGUUAUGCCCUACAUUCAUCAUGUUGUGCCCUAGUUAUGAGCUGUUAUCAAAUUCCAUAUGGAUGCUCCAUCUUGAAAUGCUAACACCCAUAAAUGCUUUGAAUUGAUCGUGUAAUUUUCUAAUAAAAUUGAUUAUUGUUCAUGUUAUUGAAGACCUAAGGGAUGAAGAUACAGAUUCAAAUCGUAGAUACCGAGGCAUGUUGAGAAGGAUAGAUAUAAAGAGACAUCAACGUGAGUGGAUGCAAUAUAUAAGAGGACUAGUUUUGAUAUGGGAGAUAGUGGAACAAGAAAUGAAUGAAUUCCUUCUGGAGAAUUAUUCAAAUGAUUUAAUCUUGGAUAUUCAGAAUGUCUCGCUUGCUGAAAUUGUCGAGCCACCAUCAAAUUUCAUCUUGCCACUAUUGAGGUACUAUUACAACAAAAGUAUGGAGUAAUUUCAAUAUAUAUUAUCCAAAGAAGACAAUGAUUUAAAUACAGGUAAAGAAAAGACUAACUAAGGUAACUAAUUAUCUAAAUCCCUAAGAAUCAGUUAGAAUAUUAUAUACAAGGAAACAUAUAACUUUAUGAUUCUCUAACACUCCACUCAAGCUGGAGCAUAGAUAUUGAUCAUGCCCAGCUUGUUACAAAGGUAAUCAACUCGAGUUCCAUUCAACGCUUUUGUCAACAAAUCAGCUAGUUGCUCUCCUGUCUUUAAGUGGCCAGUGGAAAUCAGAUUCUCCUGAAUCUUCUCACGAAUAAAAUGAAAAUCAACUUCAAUAUGUUUAGUUCUUUCAUGAUACAGCGGAUUUGAGGCAAUAUGAAGAGCAACUUGAUUAUCACACCAAAGUUUUGCUAGUGUAUGAUGCUUUAACCCAAUUUCAGUUAAGAGAUGAUGUAUCCACAUAAUUUCACAUAUGGAUUGCAACAUAGCUCUGUACUCAGAUUAUGCACUGGAUCGAGAUACAACACCUUGCUUCUUACUCCUCCAUGAUACUAGAUUCCCUCCAACAAAGACACAAUAUAUAGUCUGUUGUAGAUCUUCUAUCAAUUUUGGAUCCAGCACAUUCAGCAUCUACAAAACACUCCACACGAGUAUGACCAUGAUUGUUAUACAAUAUGCCAUGUCCAGGAGCUCCUUUUAAGUAACAUAGAAUAUGUUUUACAACUUCCCAAUCUUUGACCGUAGUUGCGGACAUGAACUGAUAACAACACUUACCGCAAAAACAAUAUCUGGACGAGUCACAGUCAAGUAGUUUAAAUUCCCAACCAACCUUCUAUAUCUUUCUAGAUCAUCAAAAGGAUCACUGUCAUCUUUCAUAAGAUGUACAUUGGGUACCAUUGGAGUAUUGCAGGGUUUAGCUGCCAACUUUCCAGUGUUUGCAAGAAGGUCAAGAAUAUACUUUCUCUGAGACAGAAAAAAUCCCUUCUUGCUUCUGUUCACUUCUACUCCCAAGAAGUAUUUCAAUUGGCCCAAGUUCUAUGUAUGAAAUCUAGUAUGCAUAAAAGACUUAAGGGAAGAAAUCCCUGCAUAAUUACUUCUUGUGAUAACAAUGUCAUCAACAUAUACAACAAGGAGGAUAGUGCCUGUUGUUGAUUGUCGGUAGAAGACUGAGUGAUCACAUUUGCUCAUUUUCAGCCCAAAAUCCUGAACUACCUCACUGAACUUGCCAAACCAAGCCCGGGGACUUUGUUUCAUGCCAUACAAGUUCUUUUUUAAUAUCUAACUGAUGUAAAGGCCAAUUCUGAGAAGUAGCUAGAGAAAUGAAUAGGCGGACAUAAGUGAGUUUGGCAACCGGAGAGAAAAUGUCUGAAUAAUCUACCCCAUAGGUUUGAGCAUAUCCUUUAGCCACAAGUCUAGCCUUAAGUCUUACUAUAGACCCAUCUAGAUUAACUUUAACUGUGAAGACCCACUUACAUCCCACUGAUUUCUUUCCCUUAGGUAAAUCCACCAAAUCCCAUGUGUGAUUUUCUUCUAAGGCAUGUAUUUCAUCAAGCAUUGCACAUACCAUCCGGGAUGAUCAAAGCCUCUUUCACUGUUUUGGGUACAGAGAUAGAGUCUAGAGAGGCAAUCAAAGAUCUAGACACAGAGGAUAAGCCAUCAUAGGGAACAAAAUUAGCAAUAUAAUAUGUGGAUUUGCAACUACGAGUACCUUUGCGAAGAGCAAUAGGGAGGUCAAGCUUUUCUGCAGGAUUUGGUGGCAAAUGGAUUGUUAUAGGACAUGUAUCAUUGGUCUCUCGCCUUGUCGAGUAAAAUUGAACAACUGGUGGUCUUACUACCGCCAAUGGAGUAGGAAUUGAUGGGACAAUAGUCGAUUGAUCCUCAAUAAAAGAAUUGGGAAAUGGAGAGACAACAUUUGAUUCUUCCGUCAAAACACGAGUAACUUGAUAGACCCACUCAUCUUCCUCCUCCUGACUUGUAGAAAUUGGAGGUGUAUAGAAGAAUGGUAUAGACUCUGAAAAUGCCACAUCAAUCGACACCAAAUAUCUGCCAAGUUCAGUAGAAUAACACCGAUACCCUUUUUAGAGGUGGAAAUAACCUAGGAAAACACACUUCAAUGCCUUGGGAUCCAACUUGCUAACAAAUGGUCGAACAUAACACGUGCAUCCAAAUACCUUAGGUUCCACUGAAAAAAGUGACUUAUUUGGAAAGAUAACACUAUAAGGCAUAUUACAAGCACACACAGUAGACGACAUGCAAUUAAUAAGAAAGCAAGUCGUAGAGACUGCAUCAGCCCAAAAAUAUUUAGGAACCUUCAUUUGAAAUAUAAGUGCUCGAGCUGUCUCAAGUAAAUGUCUAUUCUUUCUCUCAACAACUCCAUUUUGAGAGGGUGUAUCAACACAAGAAGAUUGAUGAAGAAUAUCAUGUUGUCUCAUAUAUGACUGAAAUAUUUCUGACACAUUCUUUAGCAUUGUCACUUCUUAGAAUACAUAUUGAAGCAUUGAAUUGAGUUUUGACUUCAACACAAAAGUGAGUACACACUUCUGAGCGACUCAUCAUAAAGUAAAUCUGAGAGAAAUCAUUCACAAAAGUAAUAAAGUACUUAUGCCCAGUUUUAGAAAUGAUAGGACAUGGUCCCCAAACAUCAGAAUGAAUUAACUCAAAAGUUGACCCAACCCGUUUAUUUACCCUUGGACUUAAUGAUGUGCAAUGAUUUUUUGCAAAUCGACAAGCUUCACAUUCCAAUGAAGAAAUAUUCUGAAACUCAGGACACAACUUCUUUAAUAGAGGUAAAGAAGGAUGUCCCAAUCAACAAUGUGCAUCAUAUGGAGACACGAUACUAGAGCAAACAACAGGCUGAGACUCCCACUCAUCAAGGAUGUAAAGAUCAUCAGAUACAUGUCCUUUACCAAUAAUCUGAUUUGUCUUAAGAUCACAAAACAUGCAAUGAUCAGGAAAGAAUGAAAUAUAACAAUUAAGGUCUCUCGUAAGUUUACUAACAGAGAUCAAAUUAAUAGCCAAUUUUGGUAGACUUAACACAAAUGACAGAGUAAUAGAAGAGGUUGGCAUAACAAUUCCAAAUCCAACACUAGUACAAGUAGACCCAUCAACUACAGUGAUGGGAGAGGGAGAUUUGUGUGAUUGAAAGCUAAAGAAAAUAUUAGAAUUACCAGUCAUUUGAUUUGUGACACCUGAAUCAAUUACCCAUUUAUUUGAAGAGGUGAUAAGACAUGUUUUAUCUUGCCACUAUUGAGGUACUAUUACAACAAAAGUAUGGAGUAAUUUCAAUGUAUAUUAUCCGAAGAAGACAAUGAUUUAAAUACAAGUAAAGAAAAGACUAACUAAGGUAACUAAAUAUCUAAAUCCCUAAGAAUCAGCUAGAAUAUUAUAACAAGGAAACAUAUAACUUUAUGAUUCUCUAACAGGUACCAAAAGGAGUGGCUGGCUUGGUCAUUAAAGCAAGAAACUAUAUUCAAAGGGGGUAUUCUUGCUGAUGAAAUGGGUAUGGGGAAGACGGUUCAAGCCAUAGCACUUGUUCUUGCUCAACGCGAAUUAAAGAAAGCAACUAGUGAUUCCAGUAUAUUGUCGUCUUCACUCGGUACUUCCCAGGAGCUCCCAACAGUAAAAGGAACUCUUGUUGUGUGUCCUUUGAUUGGAGCAUUGCAAUUGAUUCGUGAGAUUGAACGUUGCACCAUUAAAGGAAGCAACAAAACUCUUCUUUAUCAUGGCGCCGAUAGGGAGAAAUGUAAGUACAAACAGGAGGAAUAUGAUUUUUUCAUUACUACAUACUCCACUAUCCAGGCUGACUAUAGGCCAAAAAGGAAAAAGCAGAACAGCAGUGUUGGUGAAGAUGUGUCCAGGAGGAAGUCAGUUCUGCAUUCAGUGAAGUGGGAUCGUAUCAUUUUGGAUGAGGCAAGUCAUACAUUCAUAGAUUCAUGCAUUAAGUUUUUUGUUUUUGUAACUUGGCAUUUCCAAGUACAAGGUUCAUUUGCUGUUUAGGCAAUUUUUUUCAAGUCGAUCAUGUUAACUGCUUAAUAAUGUGCUAAUAGCUAUGCUGGUUAUUAGAAUGUGAAGAAUCUUGUGGUGGUUAGGAAGAAACCUACACACUUAACUUCUGUUCUCUCUGUUGCCCUUGAACGAUGCUGCAUGUGGUUUGUAGUUUGUGCCUGGUCUAGCUGUUGAGUCCUGAGCGUAGAACUCUUAAAUUUCAUAUGACAUUUUAUCUGCAAUGUUCUUAACUGAUUGAACUUCUAUGGCGUAGGCUCAUUGUAUCAAAUCUGUACACAGCAACUCCACAAAAGCGGUUCUUGCUUUAGAAUCUUUUUAUAUGUGGGCGGCCUUAACUGGUACACCCCUGCAAAACCACAUUGGAGAAUUGUACGCAGUUGUAAGUUAAAUUCUGCUAGUUAAACUACAUUUUCUUUACUUCUUUAAUCGUGAGGUUAAUUAAAUUCUUUACUUCUAUACAGGUUCGUUUCUUACAAGUUACCCCUUAUGUUUGUUACUUUUGCGAAAAUUGUAAUUGCACUGGACUUGAUUUUAGGUAGACACAAAGAUUCUUUUUUAAAUCCUUGUUCCUAUCCCUGAGUGUGAAAUUCACAAUGGCUCAAAGUCUAUUUUACUUUAUAUUCUAAUCAUUUUGCUUCUCAAUUGGUGUUACUUUUGAAACAUCUUGUGUUGUCUGUCCUUCAAUAAAUUCUACAGCUUCUCCAAUGCAUGCCCACAGUGCUCCCACCAACCUGCAAGCCACUUCCUCUGGUGGAAGAAAGUAAGUUAAUAGUUAAGAAUUUACAUACUUCUGAAGCUUCAUCUUAUUGCUGACAUAGUUAAGUUGAAACAUCUUCUUUUUUUCUAGUAUAUUGAAGAACCUUCAUGGUCAUACGAUGAUGAAGGUAGAGAUGUGAUGGUGUGGUUGAAGCACAAAAUUCUGAAAAGCCUAUUGCUAAGACGUACCAAAAAAGAGAGAGCUGUUGAUCUUGCACUUCCCACAAAGACUGUAAGUUCUGCUUGCACUAGUGUCGUGUGCUUCAAUUCGAUUAGAAUCUUCUUACUGGUUACUUUUUUGGGUUCAUUCAGGUUACAGUGAGAAAACAUUCUUUGGAUGAUAGAGAAUACGACUACUACAAGACACUGUGCCGUAGAAGCCAAGCACAGCUCGAUAUGUAUGCUAUCUCUCUGGUAUUUCAGUUUUGCUAUUAUUUGAACAUGCAGUGAAUUCGAGAACACUAAUUAAGCAUGAAGAAGAAAAGAUGAGAGUAUUGAGAGAGAAAUUCUUGAAUUCUUAUUGAUGUUCUGAUUGUACAAAAGAUAUACUUUCUUAUACAUUGAAUUAGAAAAAGAUUAGCUUAAUAGUACUAGUUAACUAUCUCCUAACUGUUAUCCUAACAGACUUAACUAAGUUGUGUAUUAGUUAGGUAAUUUAAGUGGACAUUGGUAAAGUCCCUAAAUAACCCCGUAACAAUUUUCAAAUUUGAGUUAUUCUUCCUUCUAGUCCACUUUGCUUGUCUACGUCUGCGCCAAUUUUCUGGGCCAUUGUUUCUCUUUUUUUGGCUGUGUAUCAUGUUUCCUACAGUUUUUUGUUCUCAAGUAGUUAUGGAACCCUUUUGAUUAGUUUCUUAGUUUUUAACUUAAGAUCUUAUACAUCUGUUUCUUCCCAUAAAAUUCUUAAUCAUUUGUGCCAUUACCUUGCCAAAAAGUAAGAAGGGAGCAAGGAUAUUUUUAUUUCUAACUGUAUCCGCAUUUUGUUUUCUGGUGCAGAUUUGUCCAGGAUGGAAAUGUGAUUAAUAAGCAUGGUCACAUAUUUGUAAUGAUCACACGCCUACGGCAGGUACCAUGAAAAUGCUCUAUAUGUGUGAAAUCUUGAACAUUCUUGAUUGUAAUGGAUUCUUGCAUUCAUCUUUUUGUUUUUGUUUUCUAAUUGACUCCCUUUCUUGCUUAAAUUUGGUGAUUCCAGUGCUAAGCUUUCUAAAUCGAUUUAUUCAUUUUUUACUGGAUCCAAUGCAGUUUAGUGCAAAUAGUAUAAUCAUGUGUUUAUCCUUUUGUCAUGCAGGUCAUUUUAUAGGUGAAAUUAGUCAUCCAGAAUCACUCUUUUUCUUUUAACUUCUUCUCGUUCUGCUCUUUCGAUUAGUCCUGAUUAAUUAAUAAUACAUUUCUUAUAUGUGCAUCAAUAUGAAUGUUCUGCAACUUUUUUUUGUAUCUUCUGUUUCAUAUCACUUUUCUGAUGUAGUUUUUGUAUAAAAAUUUUCUUGGUAUAAUUUUAUUUUCUCAAUUCUCCUUAUUAGAUGUUUGCUUAAAUUAUUUUGUCUUACUAUGGGUCAUCAGCCAAAUUUGAUUGCAGAAAAUGUCUGACCAAUAUAAUGUCUUUCUUUAAUUGGCAGGUACCUUGUGAUGUACUCUAGAAAAGAGUUGGCUAGUGGCAAUAAAGAGGCUAGAGAUGUUGAACAAUCAUGUGACUGGUGUCAUGAUGCAGUGCAAGAUCUAGAAGUGAGUUUGCGCACCUCUACCCACUCCCUCCCCCAUACCAAGAAAUAGGAAAAGAGAGAGAGAAGAAAGGAAUACCAAACAAGUUACUCAGCUGAAGUUCAAUUUUUGAUAGCUCUCUCCUUUUCUGCAUUUAUUAAAUUAUUUUUAUGCUGGUCAUUCAAGGUCCAAGAGCAUCGAGCACCUUUCAAUUGCUCAAUGCCAGCCUGACUAUUGUAUCUACACUCUUUAAAUGCCAUUUACUGUCUUUGGAGCUCGAAAACUUGUUGGAGUUCUCAUGAAGUUGUUGAGCAUUUGGGAUACUGUCUUUCUAGGGGCAUAGACAUAGAGAUUUUAUCGAAAGUACUUCUAGUAUAAACUCCUUAUACAUUAGACAGAGUCUUCUUUGAACUGUGCAUCUCUUUUUGAUUUUUGCAGGUUACUUGUUGUAGGCACGUGUUUUGCAGGGCAUGUAUGAAUUAUUUAGCUGAAGGUGUAAUGGAAGCGCCAUGCCCUUCAUGUACCAAACCCCUCACAUUUGACUUCACUGGAAAUAAAGAUAAGGGAGAUUCUAGUUCUAAACCUACUGUCAAAGAGUUUAGGUCCUCAAGUAUAUUGAACAAAAUUCAGCUUGAUAAAUUCAAGACAAGCACUAAAAUAGAAGCUUUUUUGGUAUGCAAUUGCAUUCAUCAUAUUCUCCUCAGCUUGCUUUUCUUCUUUGUCUUAUGGGUUUAUUUCAUUUUCACAAGGAGAGCAAGGGGUGUGAGCUCAUGAUCUUGUACUUGUUAGGACCGAAAUAAACAGGUGUAACGCGGAAGCUAGCAAAGCAAACCUCGAAAGACCAUGAGUAAGAAGACAAACGAGAAAUAUCCCAAAAGACACAAAGAUUUAACGUGGUUCGAUCAAUCGACCUACGUCCACAAAGGAGAUGAGCAAUCCACUAUAUAAACCUGAGAGUACAAAAUAUAGAGAGAAACAACCUCAAUCAAUUCACUCGGAAUACAUGGGAGAUUCACACAAAUGAUAACGUAUCAGGCUUGUGACCCACAAAUUCUCCCCCUAACCUAAACUCUCAAUGCCCUUAAGAUUACAUUGUGAAUGCUGAUUAAGUUAGAAGGAACAAACCUUUAUUUAUAGAGUCCUAAACCUUUUCCUACAAGAAAAGGACUAGCCAAUCCAAAACCUUUUCCUAAAAGGAAAACCUAUUUAUGAUAAGAAAUUCAGGGCAAAUAAAACCCAACAAUAUUUUCUUUCUCUGUGAACCGCUCUAAAUUCUUCAGAAAUAGCUCAUUUUUUACUUUUAUUGAAUGUAGAAGGAAGAAAUUAGCGACAUGUUUGAAAGGGACGGUUCUGCAAAAGGAAUUGUGUUUAGCCAGUUCACAUCGUUUUUGGAUCUGAUACAAUAUUCUCUUAAUGUAAGACAUAAUGGUACUUUUUCCUUCCUACAUUCUCUUCUUUCCAGACUAACAAAAAAGAAGCUUGUGUUGUGUGUAUUCAGCUGUGUGGCAUCAAUUGUGUUCAAUUAGUUGGAUCCUCUAUUGCCGCAAGAGAUGCUGCACUUAAAAGAUUCACUGAGGAUGCAAAUUGCAAGAUAUUGCUUUUGAGCUUGAAGGCUGGAGGUGUUUCCCUAAAUCUUACAGUUGCAUCACAUGUAAGGAUCUAUUUUUUUUCUCUGUGAACCGCUCUAAAUUCUCAAGGCUUGUGCAUAUCUAGUGUUGCAUUCUUCCACUCUUCAGGUUCAUUUUAUUUGGUUCAUUUGAUAUACAAUUAUGACUUGUAUUUAUCUGUUGAAUAAGCACAUGUUAUGUGGCUCAUCUCUUGAUCUUUGCUAGGUUUUCUUAAUGGAUCCUUGGUGGAAUCCUGCAGUGGAGCAGCAAGCCCAAGAUAGAGUCCAUCGAAUAGGGCAAUAUAAACCAGUCAAGUGUGUUUUGUAUUUCUUCUGCUUUGGUGACCAUUGAAUAGAGCUUAUUGUUGUUUUCGAAUUUGCAGGAUUGUGAGAUUUGUGAUGGAGAAUACAAUUGAAGAGUGAAUCUUAGAAUUACAAGAGAAGAAGAAAUUACUUUUUGAAGGGCAAGUGUGUUUUUCUUAUAGUCGUCUACAUAGUAUCAUAUAUGUUCUGACAAAAAUAAAGUAUUUUGAUGAUUUUCCUUUGCAUGUUGUUAUUGUCAAUCUUUUGUUAGAUUCCUUCUUUGCUCCCUUCCUCCGCUCUUUCUCUUGAGAACCAUUUUUCGCUAACUGUUUGUUUUUCCUCUGAUUACAGGACAAUUGGUGGUUCUUCAGAGGCCUUAGGGAAACUAACAACUGAGGACUUGAUAUCCCUGUUUUAUUAUCACUUUUGAUUUGUUCUAUUUCUUCGGUUUGGCAAACCAAUUGACAUGUGCUUUGUUCAGCUUCUAGCAAAAUUUUGUACAAAGUGUUCUGACAUUUGCUUUUAUGUUGCAUGGAGUUUGAUCUGUCCAAAGAGUGUUUCUGUUGCUUCUGCAUCUUAAUUGAUAUGAAUCACCUUCAACAGUCAUUAGCUUCAUCAAUUGUUUUAUUAUUUCCUUCCAUUUUAGCUUCACUUUCAUGAUAAAAAGUGCAUCAGAAUCCAUACCCUCAAGGCAAGGUCAUGGAAAUGUGCAUCCUUGCAAAAACAUUGGCAUAUGAAGCUCAUGGGCAGAGACAGAAUUCUAGUCUGAAUCAUCCAUUUAUCUCUUUUGUUUCUUUUUGCUUGUCAAUGUAUGAAUUGCAUAGAGAAAGCCAUUUGGGAGUUCAAAGAAAUAGCAAAUUUACUUGAAAGGUUAUUUAAUGAUGACUAGUUGUGAUUAGGCAAUAUACUGCUGCAAUGUAUCCAUACGUUAAUAAGAUAGCCAUUGGUAAUGCACCUUUAUCUAUUGGUGUUACUAUGGUUUGUAUUCAUGAACGAUCAGCCCGUGAGAAGAUUCACACAAAUAGUGUUGCUCGUAUAAUUAAUGAUGAGACAACGAGGAAGUGUCUGCAUUCAGUUAAAAGACUGGUGACAUUCUGCCAACAACGCUAUCCAACGAUGAGAUCCAAAUAUGUGGCUUCCAAUAAUGCCUAUGCCUGCCCAAGGAACUCUGUUUAUUCUGUAUGUUGAUUUCCCCUUGCUGCAGUCUAAAACGGUAUCUUUUUUCUCCUUGAAGUUGAAAUGACUUCAAAUUUCUUUUAUUAACUUCUUUUACUUCUUUUUUCUAUUGAAAUAAUAUAAAAGACUUGCAAAGGCAAUUUGAUGAAGUUGACAUGAAAAAGUUUGUUCAUAUAUAUAGUUGUUAUACCAUUUGCAUCGGGACUUAAAUUAACUCUACUUGCUGCACUGCAUUAAUAGGCAAUAAUAACCUCAAUUGGAACAAACUUGAGUGUUAUAUUCUAAAGUUCUGAUGAUUUAACAAACAAUGAGAUCUGGUAGGGGACUUGAUCCCAUGAGCGACUGAAGUUCCAGACAGACCUUAGAGGACAGUGGUAAAGUUGUCACAACUGCAGUUAGGGGUGUCGAAUGGGCGGCUUGGGUUGAAAUUGAAGAUAUUAAAUGGGUUGAAAUAGAAAUCGGGUUGGAUCUUGACCCGCCCAAGUUUACUUUGGGCUCAAAUAGGCUAAAAAACGGAUUGGGUCUUGACCCGCCCAAUUUGACCCACUUAAUCUCAAUAAUUUUAACAUAGUGAUAUUUAACUUUUAUAAUCACAAUUUAAAUUUCAACUCAAGAAUUUUUUCUUUAAAAAAAGUAACAAAUGGAUAGAUAAAUCCUAAAAGAUAUUAAAUAGAUAAUAACUCAUACCUUCAAUAUAGGAACAUAUCUUAAUAAAGAGUUUUAAAACGGGUUGAAAUUGGAGAUUGAAUUGGGCUCAAUUGAGGAUUCUCUUAAAAUGGGUCAGGCUUGAAUGUGUUGAGAUUGAACCCAAUUCAAAUUAUCUUGAACCCAACCCUUAAAAUUCUGGACGGGUUGCCUAUGUUUGAGUUCAUUUUUGACACCCCCUAACUGCAGUGGUUGGUGAGAACAGUAACACAGGAGCAGAGCCCUCAACCAAUGGCAUUGCACUAGGUUGUUUUGUCCAUCUUAUAUUUGUCAUAUUGACAAGAAACAACCUGGUUUUUGCAAUCAAGUUUUUAACCAAAGCAAAAGCCAUUCUUCUCUCAAGGCAGGUAUUCUCAUACGCAGCAAGGGACAUGAUCGAGUGAUUAAGUGUAGUCUUUAGUUGUUAUGUGAGGUUAAUGUCUUGUAUUCAAAAAGUGUAAGAUCUAUUCAUAUGCUAUAAAUGAAUUUAGAUCAUUUCAGUUGCAAUCAUCGUCAAGUCGAGUUUGUAGCUAGAGUUAGUUGUGUCAAGUUCUUUUUGAAGUCUAUAUCAACUAGGUUUAGUUGGUGUAGUGGGCAAUAGAUUCAUUGCUUUUUGUCUUGUAAUAGAGGUGUUACAAGGAGGAAGGGAUUAAGACUUUAAUUCCUAGGUUACAAGAGUUAUUAAUGAAGUUGUCGCUAAAAUCCUAUGAGAUAGGUCGUGCUUUUUUCCUCCCUGAGCAAGAAAGUUUCCACAUAAACAUCCUUUGUGCUUUACUUUACACAUUACUUUCUGCAUCGUCUGUGUUUGUGUUAUUAAGGGACCUGGUCAGUUACGUUGUGGUGGACUCAUAAAAGCCAUCAAUGAGAUUUUACAAUUUAUUGAGCAAAUGCGUUUAAUUACGCUUAAAUACGUAAUAGAUAUUUAAAAAUACACCCGAAAGAUUUUCCAUAAUUUGUAUAGAAAGCGUCUAAUAAGAACACUUUAUUAUGUGUUAUGUGCUCAAUUGAAACAAGUCACAACUCAUGUGUCUAUAAAUGAAGUAUACUUCAAGUUUAAGGGGAUCUCAAUGUAAAAAGCCAAACAAAAACUAAUCAAAAGAGGCUAAUAAGCUAAUCAAGGGAAAACAAGAUCCUGACCUAGCACAUUACCAACCCCUUUCCAAACCGUCCACACUGAUUUUACGCCCCUAUUAUUCUUAUUCAGGCAAUUCAGCGAACAUCUAACCUGCAUAGAACUUUGUGUUUGUGUUCACAUGCCAUCAUGUUGGAUAAUAGAAUUUGGGGAAAUCUUUUUCUUCCCAUAGAAUUCUCAAUCAUUUGAGUCAUUACCUCGCCUGCAUAAAGUACGGAAGAGGAUAUUUCUCCUAUUACUGUCAAAUUCCUUAUCGGAACUCCAUAUUGAAAUGUUAAUUAAUGCUUUGAAUAGUUGGUGUAAUUGUCUAAUUGAAUUGAUAAUUCUUCAUGUAUCUGAAUGAAGAGGUUACAGAUUCAGAUGAUAGACACCAUGCCAUGUUCAGAAGGAUAGAUUUGAUAACCACCUCAAAGGUGAAGAAGAGAUGUGUUGUCAUUGUUGAAGCAUGAAAGAAAGACUAGUUGGGAUAGUAAGAUGACCGAGGAAUUUGUUCCUACACACCUUAUAAAUGCGACUAGCAAAACAGAAUCACAUGACAAUGUCAACAAGAUCCAAUAAACCAAAGAAAAAGUGAUAGUGAUGAACUAUCGAGAGCUAUUGGACAGAUUUGAAAAAGAAGAUGAGAAAAAUACUCCAAGUUACUUUACCGGACCAUUCUAUCGUUUUUUAGUUCAUUCAUUUGUAAAGGAAGUUUGAGCCUUUCUUCUUUUGAAUUUUAUAAUUUUGCAUUGAGAAAUACAUAAAACUCCACCUAAACUUGGCAGCACGGGAAUUUAAAUAUCCCUUAACAUCUUUGAAGUGAAUUAAAUACAACCCUAAGAAUAGAAUACCACUUUCACCUGCCACAUCAUACCAUAUAAGUACCACAUCACAACCAUGUAAGCACCACAUCAUUAAUUUUUGUCAAAAUCAAUCCAGCUCAAUGUUGAGCUUCAAUGGAGUAGUCGACUCCAUUGUUGAAGGAAUGAAGAAGCAAUUUGAAAAAUGAAAACUGUAUAUUGAAUUAUCUACCACAAGUAAGGUUUAUAUAUGUCAUGUAGUAUGAAGUUCAUUCUGUAACUGCUCCUAACAAACUAACAACUUUCUAACCUACUAAUCACAUUUCACAUUAGCUGACUAUAUAGAAUACAUAAUUAGCUACUUUAAGCUAAAGCUACUAUAAUACUACUCCAACUACUUUAAUACUACUCUAAUACUUCAAUACCCCCCCCCCCUCAAGUUGGAAGGGAGGAACGGACUGCCAACUUGCGGAGAAUGGAUAGAUGAGACACCCCUGUGAGGGCUUUAGUGAGAAUAUCUGCCAGUUGAUUCACAGUGGUAACAUGACGCAAUGCAAUGAGACCUUCCUGCAGCUUGGUCCUAACAAAAUGACAGUCAACCUCUAUAUGUUUAGUUCGCUCAUGGAGUACUGGAUUUCUAGCAAUGUGAAGAGCAGACUGGCUGUCACAGAAAACAUCAAUGGGAGAAGGAAAUGAAAUAUUAAGCUCUUCAAAUAACCUGCUCAACCAUACUAAUUCACCCACCACUUUUCUAAGAGAUCUAUACUCAGCCUCUGCUGAAGACAAGGACACAGUUUCUUGCUUCUUUGAUUUCCAGCUUACAGGGUUGUCUCCUAGAAGAACAAUAUACCCAGUGACGGAUUUUUUGGAAUCAGGGCAAGCAGCCCAGUCUGAGUCACAAUAAACUCUAACUCUGCAGUCACUAUUUUUCGACAUAAAAAUACCAAGGGUAAGGUCCAUUUUUAGAUAUCUAAGUAGGUGAAUAGCAGCUUGAAGAUGAGGCUCUCUUAGAUCUUGCAUGAAUUGACUAAGGUGCUGAACACUAUAGGUAAUGUCCAGUCUGGUAUUUGUGAGGAAGUUCAACUUCCUAAUCAACUUUCUGUAAUAAGAGGGAUUAGGAAGAGGAGGACCUUCUUUUGCUUUAAGUUUGACAUUUGGAUCAAGUGGAGGGGACAAACAUGUGUAGUCAACCAGAUCAUAUUCUUUAAGUAAGUCCAAUGCAAACUUCCUUUGUGAAAUGAGGACACCAUCAGUAGUAUAUAGGAUUUCCAUGCCCAAGAAGUAAUUCAACUUCCCCAAAUCUUUGAUCUUAAAAGGUUGCAUGGAGGAAAGACUUCAAGUUCUCUAUUUCCAAAGAAUGUCACGCCCCGAGCCUAUACCCUGGACGUGGCCGACACUCAAAGACCAUUGAUGGCCCCAAGCGAACCUUUGGCCUGACUUUCUUAACUCAGCGGAAACCUAACUCAACAGAAUAACUCCAUGCAAUGCAAGGACAUAAAACAACUUAACUAAUAAAAUCUGGCCUAAAAGGCAACUCGAGUCCCAAAAUAGAAUAUUUACAUAUAUAAAUAGAUGAGAGACUCAAAACUAACUAACUGACUGACUGACUGUCUAUGAAGCCUCUAAAAUACUGAGAUGGAUGUUGGGACAGACCCCGGAACAUCUUAACAAAACAAAACUAAGAGAACAAAAUAACUGAGUCUUCCGUAAUGCAAAGAGGCUCACCACUGACUCUGGAGUGCUCAGCUGGAUCAACGGCAUGCCGGAUGUUGAUCCUGGGUACCUGUGUCUGCAUCGUCAUAAGAUGCAGGCCAACUGGCAUCAGUACAUUGAAUGUACGAGUAUGCGAGCUGGAAAACUAAGCAACAUAGGCUAGAAGGAAAUCUGGAAGAAACUGAAUAGCUUACCUGGCUCAACUCAACUCAACCUGACUGACUUUUUUCAAUAUAAGGCAAUUUAAAACAAGUGCAAUAUAAAGAAAAGUUGUUUAAAACAUGUUANNNNNNNNNNNNNNAACCAUCACAUGGAGCUAUAGUGAUGAUACAGCGAUCAACCUCACGCUGCCAGAGCAUCCUAUUCCCGGCCAAAGGUAUAGGACCUGAACUGCCUAAUGGAUCCACUAGUCUAAUUUGAAAAGGAUUCAUUUAAACAGUAUGAAUCUCUUCUACCCAUGAUGGCUACAUGGUUCAGUGGGGGCUGUGGGUUCUUUGAACGCUCCCCUAACUCGGUGCUCAAUACUACUCCCAAAAAUGUACUGACUCUUAUGUUUUUAAAACAUUUUCUUCCUGCUGAUUUGAGAUAAUUACUCAAAACUUAGCUCAAAGGCUAUCUUGGAAAUCUCAAUUUCCUCUCUUGCUUCAUUUAGAAAACGACAACUCUUCUUCUGGAAAACUAGCCCAAAGGCUCUUUGGAAAUCUCAGUUUCCACUUUUGUUUAAAUGUGAAAACAUUUCUUUAAAACUUCUUCGGGAAUACAUAGUUCCCUAAUAACUUUAUGAGAAAUAAACUCAACUUUAUACUAUUGGCUUAACUUGAAACUCUUUACUUAACUUGAAACUCGAGCCUUAAAAUGAAGUUGAAGCAUUCAAUAAAGACUCUUGAACAACUUUAAAGACUUGUUUCUUAACUUCUAAGUUUGACUUUAACUUCACUUGACUUUGAUCCAAACUUUCCUCGAAUUGGAUUAUGAAUUCAAGGUAUAUGAUCACAUGUUUAUGGAUGAGUUCUUGACGUUUAGACGUACCUUGGAGUGUUGAAAACAACUAUAAAACAUAGGUACAUUACCAAGGAACAUGCAUGAGAAAGUGGGGAAGGAAUGGGAAAGGUUGGUAUCCUUGGCGCUCUGAGAGGCGCAGGGCGCCAGCCCUCAAACUUCAGAGGGGCCUGGUUGGGGCUCUGCUAGGGUCGCCGCCCCAAGGGCUGGACUUCAGAGUCCCUUUUGGGGGGCGCUGGCUGGCGUGACACCCCAACCCUUUUCCCCGAAAGUUUGAAUUUUCUCCUUUAUUUUUCCAACUCUAAACCACCUUAACUUCAAAGGUUCUAGCCCCAAACACUUAAUAUCAUAAAACCCCUCAACAUACAAUAGAUUUAACUCGGAAACACAACCGGAAACAUGCCCAAAAUCAACAAGAACUUCAACACAAUCACAACUAACAACUUCAACAAAACACAAUCAAUCUUUUCUCGAAAUUAAAAUGAGUUUGGCGUGUGGGGGAAAGAACCAACCCAACACUAUGAUCUCACAUACCUAGUAGGGAUCACCCCUGACGAUAUCCACGACGAUCUUUGACGAAACCUUGCUUGAUCUUCUCUUUCUCCUCUUCUUCUCCUCUUCACUCACAAACCCUUACUCUCACUCUUUUUAAAAAGGGAAAACUGAUCUAAAAAUCAGUCUAAACCCUUAAUAUAACCAAAACAAUUGAUUAGGGAAAAGACCAAAAUACCCUUAAAAUUUCCGGACGAACUUCCCCUGCCAACUACCCAACUUUCAAAUGGCAUAACUCACUCAUACGAACUCGGAAUCAAGAAAACUCGGUGGCGUUGGAAAGACCAUUCCAUGAAAUUUGCAAACAUAACUGGAACUACACCUAACUCAUCCUAAGCUAGGAGUUAUAAUUGUUCAAGGUUGGCCAAAAACUCACUUUUUCCCAUACUUAACCAAAUUUUCCAAAUUUUUUUAAAUUCUUUCCAAAAAUGACUAUUUCCAAUUUUAAGCAUCUUCAUAGUUAUUUCAAAUUGCCGGAUGUUACAAAGAAUCUGUUCCAGUAAUGAUUACAUCAUCUACAUAUACAACUACAAAAAUGGUAGAAGAAUUGGUCUUCAUAUGGAAGAGAGAGUAGUCAUUUUCUGACUGUACAUAACCUUGGAUUGAAAGUGCCUCUACCAACUUUGCAUAUCACUGCCUGUUGGCUUGCUUCAACCCAUAAAGAGAUUUUUUUAACCUACAUACCAAUCCUGGUUUAUCAAGAGCAAGACCCUGAGGUGCCUCCAUGUAAACUUCCUCGUGCAAAUCUCCAUGGAGAAAAAUAUUGUUUACAUCUAAUUGAAAAAUAUAUCAGCCUCUCUUUAUAGCACUAGCAAUCAAUGAUUUAACAGUAGUCAUCUUGACAACAGGGGGAAAAGUAUUUGUAUAAUCUACUCCCGCUCUCUGAGUAUAGCCUUUGACAACUAAUCUGGCUUUAAACCUCUCAAUGCUAUCAUCAGCCUUGUGCUUUACUUUGUAAACCCAUUUGCAUCCUAUGGCUUUCUUCCCUUCAGGUAAAGGAACCAGAUCCCAUGUAUGGUUGGCAUGUAAUGCUUCAUAUUCUUGUGUCAUGGUUGUUUGCCAUACAGGAUUGAGAAUGGCCUCCUUAAAUGAUGAUGGUUCACUAUCAUUGCAAACAUUGUUAACCAAUUGCUGACUAGUUAAUGCUAGGACAUCAGGAGCAAUGUGACUAUGUCUACAAAAUAGUGAACUUAGGGAUAAUGGUGUGGAACAAGUUGUUGCUUUGGGUGUAGGACAGACAUAAUCUUGUAGGUAGGUAGGUACUUUGUGGGUUUUAAUAGAUCUCUUUUGAGGUUGAGGAGGUUGUGUUUCAUGUGCACUAUCAGUGUGGGAGUAAAGAGGUGUAAUGGUGGCAAGACCAAAAUUUAAGGUUGCAACACUAGUGUUCCCUUGAUUAUCAUAGACAGGUGUAGUACUAGGUAACACAUCAUCAAUGACUACAUCUGUUGAUUGUGCAGAUUUGGACACAAAUUUAGAAACAACAUGAAAGGAAGACCCCUUUGGAGACAAACUAAAAGGAAACACAUGCUCAUGAAACAUAACAUCUCUAGAAAUAUGCAGUUUUUUUGUGGCUGGGCUUUAUACCUUGUAGCCUUUUGUUGCAAAUGGAUAUCCAAUGAAGAUGUGUUGUGUGGUUUUGGGGUCAAACUUAUCUCUGUGAACCUUAGGUAUAGUAGGAUAACAGAGACAGCCAAAAGCUCUCAAUUCAGAAUAAUGUGGUUUCUUAUUGUGAAGGAUUUCAAAUGGACAUUUGUUUUUCAGGGAAGUGGUGGGUAGUCUAUUUAUGAUGUGUGUUGCUGUUAAGAUGCAUUCUCCCCAAUAUUUUAGGGGUAUUUUUUAUUGAAACAUCAAUGCCCUAGCAGUCUCAAGAAGGUAUUUGUGUUUUCUCUCAACAAUGCCAUUUUGUUGGGGUGUAUAAGGGCAUGUUUUCUGAUGAAUUAUUCCUUUGGCUUAAAAGUAUUUUGUGGCUUCAGUGUUGGAAAAUUCCAGGCCAUUAUCAAACCUAACAGAUUGAAUAGUAGUCUUAAAUUGGGUUUCAAUAAGAGAAAUGAAUGUUUUGAUAGCUUGUAGGGCAUUGCUUUUGCAGCUUAAUAAAUGUGUCCAAGUAGACCUGCUAAAGUCAUCCACUAUGGUAAGGAAAUAUUUGUAAUUGUCAUGUGUUGGAGUAUGAUAAGGCCCCCAAUGGUCAAUGUGAAGUAGUUCAAAGAUUUUGGUAGUUUCAGUGGUUCUGGUGGGGAAUAGAAGCCUAUUUUGUUUGGCCAUAGGGCAUAUAGUGCACAUGAAAGGUUGUUUUGAAGAAAAUUGUACAGGGAUAGAGGAUAUACUCUGCAUUUUAACAAAAGGAACAUGUCCAAGCCUAUUGUGCCAUAACAAGUCUACAUUACUUUCAUUAGAUGAGUAAGGAAGAGCAGACUGAAGGAAAACACCUUCAUCACAUGCAGUUUGAAAAGAAACAUUCUUAUUACAAGGAAGUAAAAAUGAGUUGUCUACAACUGAAUGCAAAGAUGGUGAAUUAGAAAGACAAGAACUAGAACUGUAACUUGAACUACAAAUUCAAUUACAAGAGGAAAUGGGAUCUGUCUUAGAAUUGACCCUAUUGCUCUUCAAGCACUUUGAACACAGGUAAUACAGUCCAUCUCUGCUACUACCAAUCUCCUGAGGCCUCUUCAUUGAAGGGGCCUACAAUACGCAGGAAGAAUUAGUAAAUAACACAAUGGAAUUGAGUUGAACAUUUAAAGAGUGAAUGGAAACUAGAUUGUAUCUGAAAGAGGGAACAUACAACACCGUAUGUAUGAUAAUCUCAGGGGUAAGUGUUACUUCACCAAACUCUUGUACCUUAACCUUAUAACCAUUUGGAAGACUGAUAAGUAUUAGGUAUGGUAGUGUUUUUAUAUUGGUCAAAGAGGCUUUAUUAAAGGUCAUGUGGUUGGAAGCUCCUGAAUCUAGAAUCCACUGGUCAUCUUUUGAUUCAUAACAUUUGCAAGAUGGCUUACUAAAAUCAAUUGAAGAAGUGCAGAUUACAAUACCUGCAAAGUUUGCAGCUCCAUGAGUGUUGUCUGAAUCAGCAUUGCAUUGAAAUUGUCUCAAUAAAUGCAUCAUUUGUCCAUAUUCCUCUUUGGUUAGACUAACAUUUUGAUCCUCAUUCUGGAUGGCCAGGCCUUUCCCUUUAUCUGAUACAUCAACAGCAGGUUGUCCAUGCACAUUUGCCACUUUUCCUUUCCCUUUAUUGGACCUGUAGGGCUGUUGUUGGUUAUGACCCUGACUACUGUUGUAGUUCUGGUAAUUAUUACUAGUAUUAGGUGUGUUGGUGGCAUUUGGAUACCUAUGCAGUUUAUAGCACUUAUCUUUCGUGUGCCCUGUUUUCUUACAGUACUCACACAUAGGCCUUUUUGUAGAGUAAUUUCCAGAUGUACUACCAGAUGCAUAAUUGGGCCUCGGAGGACAGUUGCUGGGGGAAUAAUUUGUCUUGAAGGCUCUUGAAGAAGAACCUCCAGAUGAGCUUGCAUUAAGAGAGGUGGACUCCAUAAAGAGUUGAUUAUUUUGUUUAAACUCACGUUGUUUCUCUUCCUGGAUCAGUAUCGAAAAUGCCUGCGCCAUGCUUGGCAAUGGAGUCAUCAUGAGAAUAUUCCCCCUCACCACAGUGUACACUUCAUUGAGUCCCAUGAGGAAAUGAAUCAAUCUCCGAGAUUGUUCUGCCUUAUGUGAGUUAUCUUUUGCACCACAAGUGCAAGUACAUGUACAUUGCCCUUGAGCAUUUAGAGUGCACAACUCUUCCCAUAACUUUUUCAACCUAGUAUAGUAAGUAGUGAUAUCGAGAUUUCCUUGAGCUAUGUCGUUAAUUUCCUUUUGUAUUUGGUAUAGCUUCGCACCAUUGAUUUGAUCAUAUCGAUCUUCUAACUCCUUCCAGAGUUCUACCAAACUAUUAAUGUAUUCAACACUAUCUGCAAUUUCCUUAGUAAGAGAGUUAAGGAUCCAAGAAGUUACCAUAUCGUCGCACCUCUCCCAUUGUCGCAGUUGAGGUGAGGUUGGCCCUGGUUUCACACAUUCUCCGGUGAUGAAGCCAACUUUGUUCUUCACAGAUAGAGAUUGCAGGACACCUCUUCUCCAUGAUCGAUACCCAAUUCCAUCAAAUGGAGUUGGUACUAGCAUUGCACCGGGAUUAUCUGAGGGAUGCACAUAGAGUGGACUGGUUGUGUCAACCGUUGGUUGUCCAGCUAAACCCAAAGGAACAACACCGACAUUUUCAGUUUGAUCUCCCAUGGUGGAAAACAAAGGAAUAUUGAGAGGAGAGAUCAAUCAAACAGAUGAGAGAUCGAUAGAAUAAUCGAAUAAUCGGUUUCAGAUCAAAUACGAACUCGUAGAGAAUCACUGCGAAAAAGGUAAUUCAGAAGAAGAAGAAAAAGAAGGAACGAGGAUGAGACGACAAAAUUGCGGAAUUUAGCCGUGAGGCUCUGAUGCCAUGUCAAAAUCAAUCCAGCUCAAUGUUGAGCUUCAAUGGAGUAGUCGACUCCAUUGUUGAAGGAAUGAAGAAGCAAUUUAAAAAAUGAAAACUGUAUAUUGAAUUAUCUACAACAAGUAAGGUUUAUAUAUGUACAUGUAGUAUGAAGCUGAUUCUGUAACUGCUCCUAACAAACUAACAACUUUCUAACCAACUAAUCACAUUUCACAUUAGCUGACUAUACAAAAUACAUAAUUAGCUACUUUAAGCUACAACUACUCUAAUACUACUCCAACUACUUUAAUACUACUCUAAUACUUCAAUAAUUUUCAAUUUAUUACACUAAUCAAUUAAUUAAAAAUACAUUUUAAAAUCAAAAUUGCCCAUCUUCUUCCACCCCUUCUCUUCUACCCUCCCCCCCCCCCCCCCCCCCCUAUCCCUCUUUCUUCUUUCUUGAUUUUCACCAUUUUCAAUCUUCACUAGCUUCUUUUUCCCCCCAAAUUUACAGCCUUCAAUAGUAGUUUUCUUCUUCAACAUUCAUCAACUUUUUUUAAAAAAAAAUAGCAUACUUACUCUUUCUUCUUCGAACCCUCUCUCUCCCACAAAUCUGUCCCUUGAAGAAUAAUAUUUUUGUAAGUUAUUUUUUUCUUAACAUCUCAAAUGAAAAAUGAAGGUUGUGUAAGAAAGUUGAUAGACUCAUAUUUUUUGCAUCACAACUAUUAGAAAAUUCAAAAUUGGUUACUUAAAAUUCAAGAAAGUUUACAUUCAAUAAUAUGAAUUAGGUGUUGGGUUUUGUGAUUAGUGAAGGGCGGGUGAGGUGAGGUGAGGGAUGAAGAUGAAGGAAAAAUUUUAAUAUGGAAGAAGAAAAGUAUAAGGAGUGUUUCAUUGGGGAAGAAGACAUUUGGGGAAGACAACAAAAUAAAGAGAGAACAAAAAGAUUAAAUAUUUUUUUAAAAAAAAAAUUGAACACACAAAUUUCAUUUACUUGUAAACAAGAAAUUUCACAUUUUUUUUAACUUAGUUAUAUAUUGGCCAAUAAAAAAAUGUUAUGUGUAUGAUUUUACCUUUCAGUUUUAUUAUUUUUAUUAUUUCAUGUGCUUUGAGGAGAGUGAAUACACUCACUUUGCCACAUUAGCUCUUAGGGUGAUAUUUAAUCUUGUUAAGGGGGUAUUUAAACGUCUGUAUAGUUAAUGAUGACACCCAAUUUUGGACCUCCAUAAUAUAGAUUAAUCAUCGAGAUUUUUUUUAAAAUUUCAAACAAUUUCAAAUAAUUAGUUUUAGGAAAUAAACUAAUAAUAAAUAAAAUAGAAUAAAAGUCUUUUCAAGUCAUUUUAAAUAGUUUAACACUUAUUUAUAAUUUUUAAAUAAUAUAUGUGUUACGUAUGUAAUUGGUACAUUUUUUAUAAGUAUUCGAAAAUGGUCUCAAAAAGAUUUUAGUUUUACUUAAAUACUCUAUUAAAUUAAUUUUGUCUAAAUUAGUAGUUUAUAUUUUGAGUCAUUAGUUCAUUAGGUUAAUUAUUUUGUUUCGUUAAAAUUAAGAAGUUCGUUAAUUAGUUAUAUUUAUUCAUUUCAUUUUAACUCUAGCCGAAUUAACUAAUUACCUCAAUUUGGUCGAAAUUGCAAUUAAUGUGGCUAUGCGCUUGAGUCAAGAAAUUGACCCACAUCUUGGCCCAUUUUUUCCAAUUUCCGUUCACCCUUCCAACAACCCAACACCUCAAACACAUUUCCAAAUUACACAGCCCAUUCCAAUUUAAUUCAACUGACCCAACCCAAUAAUCCCCUCAACCCGGCCCAAAUCCAUUUCUCCUUCACAAAAAGAACCCAGAUUUCCAGAACGUCUCCAGUAGCUCAAACAAAAUGAGCCCUGCAUCCUUUUUCUUCUUCACCAACACUUGAAUGCACUGCAAAAUCCAGAAACGUCAACAACAGCAGCCCUCACCAAACCGUUCCAGCAGCUCCCACAGCCUUUCUCUGCAACAACCGCCCACCUUGGUCUAGUCAUCCGGAUUUUAGGGGAUUUUGGUUGAAAUCUUGUACCAAGAACAACUUUUCCCCUUCCUUUGGGGAGGAAAAUUUGAAUUGCGAGUUUGAGCUUUAAAUUCCUAUUCUACCCUUUUCCCACUCGAUUUUUCCAGAUUUUCCCUUCUAUAUAUAUCCCCUCAUUCUUCACUGUCAAGGGAGGAAGGAGGAGAAGAAUUACUGACUGAAUAUUAAGGAAUAAGGUUUCUAUUUUUUUUUCUGUCGGAAUCCAUCGGAGCUUUGUCGGAGCUCAUCAGAAUUUCGCUUGUGGUGGUGUAAAGCUUCACGGUAAAGCUCUUAGUCCCAGAACACUGCCCCAAGAAAGGUAACCUCAUCUCCUGUUGUAUUUUGUUCCCAUGUAGUGUGUUGUAUGUUCCAUGCUUUUGUGUAGAAUCUACUGUUACAUGUAUUUAUUUAUCUUUGUUUAGUGUUUUCGUUAGCGUUGCCCUUUUCUGCAAAUUUCUGGGAUGCAAUAUGUUUCUCGUUGAUUGAAGUUUCGUCGGCAUUGUGUAGAUAGAGUAGUUGGCUCGAUGUUGUAUGUGCUUAGUCGGCCAAGUCUCUGCUUCAUUUUGUUUGAUUUGAUCUGUGGUUCAUCUGAUUUAAAUUCCGAUGUGUUAGCCUUAUAGUUUUCUUUUUUCUUAUUGUUUACUAGUUGUUUUAGUUUUCCAUUCUGACGUUGAUUCAUCGUUGUAGAUCCUCACUAAUGCUAGCCUAGUUUCAUAGCAUCUAUCUAUGUCCCCGCUUGACUCGAACACCAUCCGUGUCCUUUUGUGUUUCAGUUCAUUAUGUCAAAUUUGUAAUUCACCUUAGUCGAGCUUUAACAUGGUUCAUAUGCUUGAAGUUGGGUUUUUUUCUAAAUAUGUGUCUUGCCUUCCAAUUUUUUAUUUUAUUUUUUUUUUGUCUUCGAAAUGGGGUUGCAAAAAAUCUAAUCGUUGUCUUUCUUUUUUAAGUGUAGCUCUAUUUUGUUUUUUUUUUUUGCUAGUCACUAGUCAAAAUUUGAAAUUUUAUUCAAAAUUGCAGUUGUUCUUCUUUUAAGUAUUUACUUUCAUGUUAAUAUGCUUCUUCAUAAUCUGAGACGCGUGAUAGUAUCGUGUGAAUCUAUUCUCGUGUUGGUUUAAGUUAACAGUGUGUUUUGGCAUGAUCUUUUCAUGCUUCCUACGAUUUAGCCAUCAUAUAGGUCUGUCUGAUGAGCAUGAAUGCUACCCGAAUGCUAGUUGAAAUGCUAUUUGAUAUCAUAUUCGUACUUUCAAUUUUAUUCUCAUACAGUCUUGAAUUUGUGACUUGUAUUAAAAAUGAUCAAAGAUUAUUGUAUACAUAUACAUUGAUAAUACAAGUUGAUAGUGUCUGUUACACCUUUAUAUCAUUGUAAGAUCUCUUUCUCACUUGCUAGAAUAAAUACUAAGCAUUAUGUGCUGCUCGUAUGAAUUUUGGUAUUGCUAUUUGUUUUAACUCAGCUUGUCGAACACACAGAUAGAUUGAGCUCUUGGUUCUCGAUGUGUUUAAUUAGUAAUAUGUCUUUUAUCUGUAUAUUAUUACAGCAAAGCAUAAUUAUUGUCCAUUUCAUAAGAAGACAUCUUUAACUCUAGUUAGUUUCUUUUAAAAAUAAAAAAUCAGUAAGCAUGUUAGUAAACUUAACCAUAUUAAUUCUUCAUUUGCCUACUUGCAUGUUCAGUUAUUAAUUACUUUAAGUUUUUUGACUAACCUUGGCAUAAGAUCUUGUCACCUCUCUCGUCAUCACUCUCCUCUACUAUGUUAUUUCAUGCUUUGAAUAUUAUGAUCAUGAUUUGUUAGCUUUUAUGUUUGAAUUGGUGUGCAUAUUGUGGCUUAUGUUUACGCUUUGUUAGAAAUCAGUAACUACUUAAGUGUUAUAUGCGGUCAAGUAUUUUCAGUCUAAUUCUCCUCCUUUACUUUGUUUACAUGUGACAAUGGCCAAGUCUAUUUGACUCUAAUCCUUGCAUUUCCGAGUUGAGCCAUAAAGGCUUGAUCUUUGCUUUCCCUGUUAAUCAAGUCAGUCCCAUUAUAUUCGGAAGCUGUUACAGGUUCCAGAGCUCCAACAUGCUGCUGGAAAUUAGUCCAGAAGCCUAAGAAAUGGGCUAUAUACAUAUCGUAUACAUCAGUAUACAGCUGUAUACACUGAUAUACGGGUCAAAAACACAAAAACACAGAGCUAAGGAGAAAUACAGGUGUUUGGAAGCAAGAGAUACAUGAAAAGGGCCAAGAAACGAUCAAUAUACACCGAUAUACAGCUGGUGUAUACCAAAAACGGGAUUGAGUAAAUUCCCCAGAAAUUGCAGCGAAAUUGGCCCAAAAAGGAGGCCCAAAUUCAAUUUCUCCUUUACCUAACUUAUUUAAUUGUGUGAUUAUUUAUUUAUUUGUUUUUUUUAAAUUUGCGACUUUAAUUUAAUUUAAAUUCCCCAAAAGAUAAAACCAUAUUCUUUAUGUUAGUUCUUUAAAAUAAUUCAUUUUUAUCAACGUCUUAUGCUUAUUCAAAUAUUUUUAGUCAAAACUUUCACUUAUCUUUAAUUAGAUUAAAAUAAUUUCUUGGUUUGUCUAUCAAGCUGGUUCGAAUUAUUAUUUCUAAAAAAAAUGACGUAAAUAAAUUUUAAUUAAUCUAAUUUUGUUAAAAUCCUAAUUGACCAAGUUGUUUCAAGAUUUUCUAAAAAAUUAAGAAUGAUUCUUUAUUUAACUAUUUUUAUCAAAGUUAAUCGGAUAUCGUAAAAUAUUAUAUAUUUUAUGUUAAAUCAUUUUCCUAAUUUUUUUUUUAAAAGAUAUGUUAUUUAAGGGUCUUCUUCAUUUAAAUCACUUUUUUCACUCAUUUCAAAAUUGUUCUAAGUUAAAGUAUUUUUUAUUUAUUUUAUUUUAUUUUAUUUUUAAAAAAUAAACUUUAAAAAAUGUUAGUCAAAACCUUUUCAAUCGAUUAAUAAUAAUAAUAAUAAUAAUAAUACUUAUUUAAGUCAUUUUCUCAAAAAAGGUUAGUCAAUUAAAAAGAAAUGGUUUUCAUGUUUUAAUUUAUUAAAUUGUUUUAAAAUGAAUUAAAUAAAUUCUAAUUAAUCUAGUUUUAUUAAUAUUCCAAUCACUUGUAUUUCGAGUUGAAUGUAUCAUUUUAGAUCCCUUUCUCUAAAAAAAUAAAAAUGAAAUAAAAUGCGUCAUUUAUUUAAUUAUUUUCUUAAUCAAAUAUAUUAUAAGUUNNNNNNNNNNNNNNNNNNNNNNNNNNNNNNNNNNNNNNNNNNNNNNNNNNNNNNNNNNNNNNNNNNNNNNNNNNNNNNNNNNNNNNNNNNNNNNNNNNNNNUUUUAUUAAAAUUCUAAUGACUUGUAUUUCGAGUCAAAUGUUCUAUUUUGGAUCUUUUUCUCUAAAAAAUAAAAUAAUAAAAUAUGUCAUUUAUUUAAUUAUUUUCUUAAUCAAAUAUAUUAUAAGUUAUUAUUUUUUAUGUUAAAUUGUUUUUUUUUUUUUAAAUAGUCAAAUAUAUUUUAGUCGAGUCGCAGGUCAACCGCAUGUUAGUGGGCACUUCGAAUGCUUAAACCCUUCUCGAAGUGUAAAUUGAACCCCGAACCCUCUUUGGUAUUUUCAAAUAAUUUUUCUCUGUUUAAAUCUUUGAAAAUUAUAAGUUUCUUAAUUUCUUUAAAAAAAAUUAAGUGGCGACUCUUUCUAAGUAUUUUUUUUUUUUUGUUUUAUACUUGGAACAUUUCAAAAAGGUGAUUUUUCUAAAGGUUAGGAAAAUUACGGCACAACAGUUAAAGUACUAAAGUAAGUUUUGCUGCCAAGUUUAUGAGUUUUUUUUUUAUGUAUUAUCUCCUUUGCAUUGCGUAAGCAUAGAACACCUUAUUCUCGCUAGCUCUUAUUUUCUUCAUGGUUACUUUGCAGAACCUCAUUAGGAUUGAUAAGGUAAGUUCCAGCCCCCUUGUACUUAUUCCAACGGAGGAUUUUUAUUUUAUUAUCAAUAAAAGACCAUUGGACAUACUGUCUAGCAAUAAAUUCGAAGAAAAAAAUAAUUCUUCCUUCAAGUUCACUUUGCUUGUGUACGGCUGUUCCAAUUUUCUGGCCCAUUGUUUCUCAUUUUUUUUGGCUGCGUAUCAUGUUUCCUACAAUUUCUUGUCCUCGAGUAGUUCUGGAACCCUUUGGGUUAGUUUCUUGGUUCAUAACUUAAAUUUAUACGUCUUUUUCUUCCCAUAAAAUUCUCAAUCAUUUGUGUCAUUACCUUGCCAAAAAAGUAAGAAGGGAGCAAGGAUAUUCUUAUUUCUAACUGUAUACCCAUUUUGUAUUUUUGUGCAGAUAUGUACAGGCUGGAACUCUGACGAAUAACUAUUUUCACAUUUUUGCUAUGAUCGCAAUUCGCAUUCCUACAGAAGCGAAGGUACCAAGUCAAUACUUUAUAAAUGCUUGACAUGUGUGGAACCUUGAACAUUCUUCAUAAUUGUAGUUGAUGCUUGCAUUCAUCUUCUUGUUUUUGUUUUCUAAUUGACUCUCUUUGCUGCUUCAAUUAGAGUGAAAACGGCAUUUGCUCCUUGGAUAAAAUUGACUCUCUUUCUCCUCAUUCUUUUUCUUUCAACUUCUUCUCUUCUUCCUUUCUUUCUACCAACUUCCAACUUUCUAUUCUUGCAAAUAGUCAUUUUCUGCUUCUUCCCAAUACAUUUCUAUUUGUGGAUAGAUAUGAAUGUUUUGCAACUUCUUUUAUUUUUAUCUUCAGGUUCCUGUCAUUAGGUUCAUUGAAUAUACAAUUAUGACUUGUAUUUAUCUGUUGAAUAAGAACAUGUUAUGUGGCUCAUCCGUUGAUCUUUGCUAAGUUUUCUUAAUGGAUCCUUGGUGGAAUCCUGUGGUGGAGCAGCAAGCCCAAGAUAGAAUCCAUAGAAUAGGGCAAUAUAAACCAGUCAAGUGUCUGUCGUAUUUAUUCUACUUUGAAUGGAGCUUAUUGUUGUUUUCAAAUUUGCAGGAUUGUGAGAUUUGUGAUUGAGAAUAUAAUUGAAGAGAGUAUCUUAGAGUUGCAAGAGAAGAAGAAAUUACUUUUUGAUGGGCAAGUGUGUUUUUCUUAUAGUCGUCUACAUAGUUGCAUUUGUCUUCUGAAAAAAAUAAAGUAUUUUGAUGAUUUUCCCUUGCAAGUUUUUUUUGGUAACCAAUGUAAAUUACCAUUAACAAAUGAUAAACAAAUACACCUAAAGAGCACUCUAGUUAAGCCUCUUAUAGAUCUCUCCAACAACCAACAAUACUUAUUCGCCUUUCUAGACCGUUUAACUAACUCAAGUCUGUCUGCAAAUUCCUUCUUAAUUUGUGUCAUGGCUGUAUCUGUAUUUACAGUGACGCCUUUAAACAACUUUCAGUUCCUUGCUCUCAAAACCUGGUAUAUCAUUGCUCCACACAAUGCAGCAAUAAGUUCCUUGUGAAACUGUUGCCAAUUCUUCCUUUUGAGUCUAUUUAGAAUAUGUUUGACAGUUCCAGAAGGAAUCGAUGUCCCAGACCAUUGUUGCAUUUCAGCUUAGUGUCAAUCUUUUUAUUACAUUCCUUCUUUGCUCCCUUCCUCCGCUCUUUCUCUAAAAAAAACAUUUUCCCCUAACUGUUCGUUUUUCCUUUGAUUGCAGGACAGGUGGUUUUACUUCAGAGGCCUUAGGAAAACUAACAACCAAGGACUUGACAUCCCUGUUUUAUCAUCACUUUUGAUAUGUUCUAUUUCUUCGGUUUGGCAAACUAAUUGACAUUUAUUUGUUCAGCUUCUAGUCAAAUUCUGUACAAAGUGUUCUACAUUUGCUUUUAGGCUGUAUGGAAUCUGAUCUAUUUAAAGAGUGUUUCUGUUGCUUCUACAUGUUAGUUGAUAAGAAUCACCUUCAACAGUCAUUAGCUUCAUCAAUUGUUCUUAUUGUUUACUUCUAUUUUAACUUCACUUGCAUAAUAAAAAGUGCAUCAGAAUGCAUACCCUCAAGGUAAGGUCAUGGAAAUGUGCAUCUUCCAUUUAGUUUAAAAGGUUCCUUUAUUUUAAAAAGAUUAGGAUUAGGAAUGUCACUGUAUCUUUCUUCUAGGCCAAAAUGGUGAAUUUUGAAGCUUUAUUCACACUGAAUUUAGUAAUCGAAAGCUCUGUAAUGUUAAUUAUUCUAAUUAUUUUUCGUUUUGAAUAAUUUGUUGUCUUUUUUCUCUCUGUUGAAUGAAUCAUUUUUUAAAUUUUGUGUAUAGUUAAUGACCUAUAACCGAAUCGAACCGAAAUCGAUAAAUGUACAUUGUAUUUGGUUUUUCCAAUUUUAUAGAUUUUACACAAAUCUCAUAGUGUUAAGAGCUAAUUACGUCUUAUCCCUACUCUUUUCCAAAUUAUUACAAAAAUCCAUUAAAUUUGGUGGAAUCCGGAUACAUCCCAAAACGUCUCGAUACAUCACAUUCCGAUUUUGGAUACAUCCUAAUACAUCGCAUCUUGGUUUUGGAUACAUCACGUACGUCCCGAUACAUUGCGUAAACUGAUGUAUCCAACUGACACGUCACGUAAAGUAAUAUCUCGAUAUAUCGCAAAGUGAUGUAUCCGAUCAAUACAUCGCAAAGUGAUGUGUCCGAUUGAUACAUCGUGUAAACUAGAGAUUUUUGUAAUUUUUUCAUAUGGUAGAGAAUUUUAGAAAAUAUAGUAAAAUAAAUUGUGUAUUUAAGUCAUUUUUCCAAUUUAAAAAUCGAUUAAAUUAAUUUAAUUUCGAUCAAUAAUCGACCCAACCCGACUCGUGGACACCCCUAUAGAUGACAUAUUUGAACGUUUUCUCUUUAAAGAAUGGUGAGCUACAAUAUAAUCUAGUUUAUACAUAACGUCAUAAUUGAUUAUAUAAAUUCAAGAACUUUUAACCCAAAAAUAAAUGACGGAUUAUCUGAACCUCCAUAAAUUUGACGUGUUUUAUUUAGAUUUUCACGUAAGCUAUCCAUCAAUCAUAUUAAUUACCCUAUCAAAUGAGUCAAGUUAAUUCGGGGAUACUUAAGACUAUUUAUAGUUAAGCAAAUCUGGACAGAACAGGCCAAAUUUAAGUUUAUCGGACGAAAAAAAAAAAGUAAAUAGAGAUUAUAACAUUGGUCAAACACUUAAAAAUGGUUUUUUUUAAAAUUUAUUUAACGCGGUAAAAUUCCUUUUUCUAAAAAAGAAGGAAAAUGAGUAUUCAAAAAUAAGCAUUUGGUGAAUGAAAAUUUUUAGUCAUUUUAAACUUAUUUUAAGUUAUUUUUAACCUUAUCAAACACUUCCUAACUUAUUUUAAGUCAUUUUUUUGGAACUUAUUUUAAAUUAUUUUUAUACUUGUCAAACACUUAUAGAAAUAAAAAACUGACUUAAAUGUAGGUUUGACCAACUUUUAAGUCAAUUCAAAUACCCUUGUAAUCUAAUUUAACUUUAAAAUUAGUCAAAUUGACUUUUGAAAAGCACAAUAUGACAAAUAAAAAUGGACAAAGAGAGUAUUAAAACUUCAAACACAGUAUAUAUAACACAUUAAUUUCCUAGAGCAUCUAGAUUUUUCUUAAGUAUAAAUAUCAAAGAUAUUUACUCUACAAAAUUUUAGAAAGACCUACUAAAUAUCUGAGAUAUUUUUUGUAUCUCCAAAAUUCUAGAAAGUUCUACUAAAUAUCUAAGAUAUUUUUUGUACCUCCAAAAAAAUAACUUUAAUUUUUCACAAGAGGGAGUAUUUAAACUUCAAACACAGUAUAUAUAUAACACAUUACAUUCCUUAUAGGGGGAAGGAAACAUAAAGUAAUGGAGAUUGUUACUUACCAUUUCUUAGCCUUAUUUUUAUUAGCAAUUACCUUUGUAAUAUAUGCAUGGAGAUUGUUGGACUGGGCAUGGUUUAGGCCAAGGAAAUUGGAGAAAUGCCUUAGAAAACAAGGUCUCAAAGGGAACUCUUACAAAUUGAUUUAUGGAGACAUCAAAGAGCUGUCUAAAAGCAUUGAAGAUGCAAAGUCCAAACCAUUGAAUGCCUCUGAUGAUGACUUAACACCAAGAAUUCUCCCUUAUUUCGUUCAAACAAUCAAGAAAUACGGUAAUUUUUUGUUUUCUUUUCAUUGGUUUUCUCAUGUAUUUGUUUUAGGGUUUGAUUAGUUUGAAUUCACAUAUGGAGUAAAGUGUACUUCAUUUCAAAGCUCAAACUCGAGAUCUUUGAUUAAGCUCUUGUUUGACCAUUGAUUUUGAAGUUGAAGCUUGAGAAUUGAGUUUUUGAAGUUAUGAUUUUUUUAACUUAAAGUUGUUUUACUUGGGAAUUUUUGAAGUUUUGUGAGUGAAAAGUGAAAUUUUUCCACCAGUUUUAUGGAACUUGGAGAUUUCAAAGUUUGUUUCAAAUCUAUGGUCAAACAGAUAUUUCAAGAUGCUUUUUCAGAAGUUUUGAUCCAAAAUCUAUGACCAAACGCGAGGUAAGGAUAGAGGGGUGCUUACCCGCCCACAACAACAUGAUCCAAUGACUCAACUAUAGAUAUCAAGUAGGAGUUCGGAUAAACUAGUUACUUUUGCUUGGACCAUAUAUUUAUAAUAGGAAAUUUAUUAAAUAUGCAUACAUAUUUAGUUUCAAAUCCAACAAGUAUAAUGAGAAUCUAGCUAUAAAUUUCAAGUUCUAACUCCACAUCUUUCUAUACUUGUGAAAAGUAAGAAAAGUUGAGCUAAGAAUUUUUGGCCUUGCAAUAUUGUACAGGUAAAAACUGUUUUAUAUGGGUUGGGCCAAAGCCUUUGGUAAUCGUAGGGGACCCUGAGGUAAUAAGGGAUGUGUUUAACAAACAUGCCCUCUAUCAAAAGCCAAAAUACCCUCCACAGACCAAGUUGCUGGCAAAAGGAAUUCUAAGCUAUGAAGAUGAUAAAUGGGCAAAGCAUAGGAGAAUUCUCAAUCCUGCUUUCCAUAUGGAGAAGAUAAAGGUAUUUUAUCAUUCCUCUCCCUCCCAAAAGCAUAAUAUAUUUUCACAUAGGGGGGAAGCUAAGGGGACAAAAGGGGUUCAUUUGAAUCCACUUUGUUGAAAUGUUAAAUUUGUUUAUUUUUACGUAUGUAUAGUAGAUGUUGAAUUCCCUUGGUUUCUUGGUGUGUUCAAGUAUUAACAGUUUAAGUUUUUAAAUAAGAUAGUCACGCAAUGCAACAAAAAACCUCAUCUCCAUAAUCACAAAUUCACGAUAUCAUCCCCCCCCCCCCAGAAGCUCCCCUCCUUUUAGCUCCUUUAGUGACUCGAACCCACAAUCCUAGGUUAGAGGUGAAGGGUGCUUACCGUUUGAGCAACUCUCCAUGUAUCACAAAUUCAUGAUAUUGACUCUGCUUUCAUUCUGUUUUCUCUCUAGCUUGCAAUUAUGGCCUAAGUUUUUUUAGGAGAUAAUAUUUCUACAAGAUGCAGUUGGUUUAAUUUGUAUUAAUGAGUGGUUUACAAUGUGUAGGAUAUGCUUCACACAGUUCAUUUGAGCUGCAGUGAAAUGGUGAGUCAAUGGGAGGAGGCUGUCUCAAUGAAAGAAUCGUCCACCGAACUCGAUAUAUGGCCUUACCUUCAAAGAUUGACUAGUGAUGUUAUUUCUCGCACAGCCUUUGGGAGCAACUAUGAGGAAGGUCGAAAGAUAUUUGAGCUUCAAAAAGAACAAGCUAAGCAUGUCAUUGAAGUUUCUCGCACCUUAUAUAUUCUGGGAUGGAGGUAAUACGACGUCGUUUUUUCAUAGUUUAAGUUAUGUAUUACAGAGUUCAUCACUAAUCUGUUGCUAAAUGGCCCCUAGCUAACAUAUUUUUUGGUAAUGGUUUCUAAUCCGUCCUUAAAUAGGAUCAUCGACAAGUUUUUGUGGAAGUUGUACGCCGCUAAUACCUAUGUUUGAUGUUUCUAUAGUGCCUUCAAUGACAAGUUAAAAUACAUUGAUAGAGUAAAAACUAUUUACGUGUGUAUAUAACUUAAACCCUUCUUCCCAGUAUCUAUAUCCAAAUAUAACAGGAAAAGAAGUUUAAAAUAGUGAUUAUUUGAUGAUGAUAUACAUGUUUUUUUGUGUUAAACUAAUGUAGGUUCUUGCCAACUAAGAGAAACAGAAGGAUGAAGGAGAUUGAGAGAGAAGUUCAAGCAACAAUUAGGGGAAUUAUUGAUAAAAGAGUGAAGGGAAUGAAAGCAGGGGAGGCCAAUACUGAUGACCUAUUAGGCAUAUUGUUGGAAUCCAACUUUAAAGAAAUCGAGCAACACGGUAACAAGAAUUUUGGUAUGACUAUAAAAGAUGUUAUUGAGGAGUGUAAGUUGUUCUUUUUUGCUGGACAAGAGACAACCUCUGUAUGGCUUGUAUGGACUAUGAUUUUGUUAAGCAGACAUCCAGACUGGCAAGUUCGCGCUAGAGAAGAGGUUUUGCAACUUUUUGGAGAUGGCAUGCCAGAAUUUGAUGGAUUAAAUCGCUUGAAAGUUGUAAGUUAUUUUAGCUUGCUUACCUUCCUUUUAAUUUACAUAUCUCCGCAACACAUGGUGUUACUUUUAUUUAGCGUCGGAUUAAGGAUUUAAACUUACGUUCUUUGCAUUGAACUCAUUGUUAUACACUCUCCCUUUGUUCCAUUUUGUGUGACGGUCUUUUCUUUUUAGUUUGUUCAUAAAAGAAUGACAUAUUUAAUCUUUAAGUUUCCAAUUACCCUUGAUGGAACACUUUUAUAGCCAUAGAAAUAUCAUGGAAUGUUUAUGAUCUCAAGUUUUAAAAGUUUUUUUUUCUAUUUAACUCCAUGCCCAAUCAAAUAGUGAGUAUGUGUUUGUUUGAAUCGUUUGUGGAAAAUAUUAGAUUCAUUUGAACACGUUCGACAUAGGCUCCAUCAAUCUUUGGUUCUAUGUUCUUGAUUUCCUUAUUACUUUAAUAAUUCAAUGCUGAACUCAUUUUAACAAUAGGUGACAAUGAUUUUGCACGAGUCAUUAAGGCUAUAUCCACCAACUGCUGCACUAGGUCGAAGGAUUACAACUAAAAUGAAGCUAGGGAAACUAAAUUUACCAGAAGGAGUGAUGCUGUCUUUGCCAACAAUUUUAGUGCAUCAUGACAAGGAAAUAUGGGGUGAAGAUGCAACAAAGUUCAAGCCAGAGAAAUUCAGUGAAGGAAUUUCAAAGGCAACUAAGGGCCAAAUGACGUUUUUCCCAUUUGGCGCGGGACCUAGGAUAUGCAUUGGACUGAACUUCGCAAUGAUAGAAGCGAAGAUGGCUAUGGCUAUGAUUCUGCAACGCUUUGCGUUUGAACUAUCUCCUUCGUACACUCAUGCUCCACAGUCUGUAAUAACUAUGCAACCCAAAUAUGGUGCUCCUCUAAUGUUGCAUAAAUUGUAAGUUGAGAGUUACAUGAAAUGCCUUGCAUUGAAUUAAUAACUAUGUCAAACAAGCAUAAUUAAGUUGAUAUAUAUUGCAGCUUUGGUCUCUGCUUUUUCCCGUAAACAACGAGAACUCAUCCUCGGUGUUUUUUUUUCUUCCAGUUUUAUGUGCAAUUUUUAUUGUUUAAAAGUUAUUUUUAUGAUUGGAAUGUAUGAUCAGUCUUUCUAGUUGAUUAUAAUUUUUUGUGUUUCCCAAUUUUUACCGACGACUGUAAUGAUUUCAUCCGGUGAUUAUCCGAGAGGAAGUUUGGGAACAAAAGAGCCAAAUUGAGAUUCUCUCAUCGUUCAAAUGAGGAAGGAAUUUGUGUUUCCUAUAGAGUAUAUUUUUUUCUGCCAUAAUAUCUUUGACAGACUGUUAUCUGGCAGUUUUUUUUUCACAGAUAUCUAUAUACCUCACAUAAGAAAUGAAUGAAUGCAAUAUACAUUUUUCUCAUUUCACAAAUUAGUUCUCUCUCUCUCUCUCUCAAUAAUGGAGUUGGCUACUCCAUUGAUGCUCAACAUUGAGCUAGAUUGAAGUUUGACAUGGUAUCAGAGUCACACGGCUAAUUCCGUGAUUCCGUCACGCAAUGUUCCACUGCCAGUUCACAAUCAAUUGCUCCUCUGAUCGAUUAUCCCUGUUUCUUCCCCUUUUAUCUCGAUUUUUUUUUCUGCUAUGGGCGAUCAAACUGACGGUGUCGUCCCUCCGAGUAGGACUGGGAAAUCGACCAUUGAUGCAACCAGUCCACUCUAUGUACAUCCUUCAGACAAUCCCGGGGCAAUGUUGGUACCAGCACCAUUUGAUGGAAUUGGGUACAGAUCCUGGAGAAGAGGUGUCCUGCGUUCUCUUUCUGUGAAGAAUAAAGUAGGUUUCUUCACCGGUGACUGUGUGAAGCCAAAUAUGCCAUCUCCUGAGCUACGACAAUGGAAGAGAUGUGACGAUAUGGUAACUUCCUUGAUCCUCAACUCUCUUUCUAGGGAAAUUGCAGAUAGUGUUGAGUAUGCUAGUAAUUCAGUAGAACUCUGGAAAGAAUUGGAGGAACGAUAUGAUCAAACCAAUGGUGCGAAAUUAUAUCAAAUACAAAAAGAAAUCAAUGACAUGGCUCAAGGCAAUCUCGACAUCACUACUUACUACACUAGGCUGAAAAAGCUAUGGGAAGAAUUAUGUACUUUGAAUGCUAAAACUCAUUGCACCUGUGUUUGCACUUGUGGUGCAAAGGAUAACUUGCACAAAGCAGAACAAGAGAGAAGAUUGAUUCAUUUCCUCAUGGGACUUAAUGAAGUGUACACUGUGGUGAGGGGGAGCAUCCUCAUGGUGAAUCCACUGCCAAGUAUGGUGCAUGCUUUUUCUAUAUUGUUCCAGGAGGAAAACCAACAAGAGUUCAAGCCAACAAAUUAGUUCAUUAUGGAGUCCACCUCUGUUAUUGCAGGUUCAUCUGGGGCUUCUUCUUCAAGACCAAUUACUCCCCCAACAUCUAUCCUCCUAUACCCAAUUAUUCACUUGGAAGCUCCUCUAGCAGCCACUCUGGGAGGAGACCUAUGUGUGAAUAUUGUAAGAGGCAAGGGCACACAAAGGAUAAGUGCUACAAAUUGCAUGGCUAUCCUACUGGUCCACAAUAUAGCACCAACACUCAAAGCUAUAAUAAUCAGAAUUACCAGAACUACAAUAGUGGUCAGGGGCAUAAUCAACACCAAUCUUACCGGUUCAACAAAGGAAAGGGGAAAGUAGCGAAUGUGCAUGGAUAGCCUGUUGAUGAUGUAACAGAUAAGGGAAGGUCUAGCCAUCCAGAGUGAGGAUCAAAACGUUAGCCUAACCAAAGAGCCAUAUGGACAGAUGAUGCAAUUGCUGAGAUAAUUUCAAAGCAGUGAUGGCUCAGACAACACUCAUGGAGCUGCAAACUUUGCAGGUACUGUGAUCUGCAAUUCUUCAAUUGAUUUUAGUAAACCAUCUUGUAAAUGUUUUGAAUCAAAGGCUGACUUGUGGAUCCUAGACUCAGGAGCUUCCAACCACAUGACCUUUAACAAAAACUCAAUGACCAACAUCAAAACAUUACCAUAUCCAAUACUUAUUAGUCUUCCCAAUGGUUAUAAGGAUAAGGUACAAGAAUUUGGUGAUGUAACACUUACCCCUGAGAUUACCAUACAUAAGGUGUUGUUUAUCCCAUCUUUCAAAUACAAUUUGAUUUUUGUUCACUCCUUAACUGUUCAACUCAAGUCUAUUGUCCUCAGGAGAUUGGUAGUAGCAGAUGUUAGAAUAGAAUAUGUACACACAAUCCUACACAGAAUAGGAAUAGUUUAUAAUCUCCUAUUUGGUAAGGAAUUGUAUUGUAGUAUCUAUAAAUAGGGUUCUCUAUGUAAUAAUUAAAACAACAAUUCAAUAAUAUUCUUCUCCAAUAUUUCUCACAUAGUAUCAGAGCAAUUGUGAGAGAAAAAAUAGAAAUAAAAAAAAUCGCACACUUUUUUUCCGGUAACCUAGUGGCUGUCCGGGUAAUUAAUAUUUUCCGUCAUUGUUUUUCAAAAAUUAACACCACCACUAGCUGAGGAACUUCCCGGCGAGCAAACCCCAAUCAUCCCCGCCAGAAACCAGUGCUACACACACCGUCACGCGCCUCCGGAAGAAUUUCUCCUGCGAGUUGUCAGAUCCACGCGCCGGCGCGUGAGACCUGUUCCGGUCAAUUUUUCGACAAUUUUUUUCCUAUCUGGGUCGCCUCUUCAUUCCGAGGCUAACCAUAUAAUCUUUUCCUAAUUCCGACCAAUAUUUGGCGAUCAGAUCUACUUUUCCGGCAACAACCUAUUUCUUUUCCAGAUUCCGACAGAAAAAAAAAUCCAAUUUUUUGGCUACUCAUUACAGUUUAUUAUUAUUAUUAUUUUAUUUUUUUUGGCUACAUAUUCUAAUUUCACAACAUGUCUUUCGGGAUUGAUACUUUUGGCUCCAAGAAUAUAGGAAUUGGAAGUUCAAUCCCUAUGAUCUCUUCCUGCUAUUACUUUGGCCAAUGGGAUACAAACAAAACCAAAAGGGGUUGGAAAAGCCACACCUCUAUCUUUUGUCACUCUAGACUCUAUUCUAUAUGUCCUUGGUUCUCCUUUUAAUCUGGCAUCUGUUAGUCGUUUCACACGUGCCCUACAUUGUAGCAUAACCUUUUUUGAUGAUUUUUUUCUCAUGCAGGACCGCAGUACGGGACAGACGAUUGGCACAGGACAUGAAUCACAAGGCCUUUACUAUCUUACCUCUUCAACUUCCUUCACAGCAUGCUCCGUUACAGAUCAUCUGGACCUCAUUCACAAACGUUUGGACAUCCGAGUCUAUCCAAACUGCAACAGAUGGUGCCUAGUUUAUCUAGUUUAUCCAAAUUAGAUUGAGUCGUGUCAACUUAGGAAACACACUCGUGCCACAUUUUCACGUGGUACUGAGGGGCGUUCAGAGUCUAUUUUUUCAUUAGUUCAUUCUGAUAUUUGGGGUCCUAGUAGAGUCAGUUCCACCUUAGGAUUUCGUUAUUUUGUUAGUUUCAUUGAUGAUUAUUUGAGAUGUACUUGGGUUUUCUUAAUGAAAGAUCGUUUUGAGUUAUUUUCUAUAUUCAAAGUUUCUUUGCUGAAAUACAAAAUCAGUUUGGUGUUGCUAUUCGUACUUUUCGUAGUGAUAAUGCCUUAGAAUACUUAUCAUCCAGUUUCAAGAGUUUAUGUCUCACCAAGGAAUUAUUCACCAAACAUCUUGUCCAUACACUCCUCAACAAAAUGGUGUAGCAGAAAGAAAGAAUAGGCAUCUCAUUGAGACUGCUCGCACUCUCCUCAUUGAAUCUCAUGUUCUGCUGCGUUUUUGGGGAGAUGCAAUCCUUUCAUCUUGUUAUUUAAUUAAUAGAAUGCCCUCAUCUUCUAUUCGGAAUCAGGUUCCACAUUCCAAACUGUAUCCUCAGUCACAUCUCUAUUCUAUCCCUCCUCGUGUAUUUGGGAGCACAUGCUUUGUUCAUAACUUAGCCCCAGGAAAAGAUAAAUUAACCCCUCGUGCUCUUAAAUGUGUCUUUCUUGGUUACUCUCGAGUUCAAAAAGGGUAUCGUUGCUAUUCACAUGAUAGGAAUAGUUUAUAGUCUCCUAUUUGGUAAGGAAUUGUAUUGUAGUGUCUAUAAAUAGGGUUCUCUAAUGUAAUAAUUAAAACAACAAUUCAAUAAUAUUCUUCUCCAAUAUUUCUCACAGCAGAGAUGGAUUGUAUUACCUGUGUUCAAAAUGUUUGAAGAGCAGAAAAUUCAUCCCUAAGGCAGAUUUCAUUUCCUCUUGUAAUUGUAUUUCCAAUUCCAGUUUCAAUUCUAGCUCUAGUCUUUCUGAUUCAUCUUCUUUGCAUUCAGUUGUUGAUACUUAAUCUUUGUUUCCAUGUAAUGCAAAUGUUCCUCUCCAAGUUGCUCUUCCUUGUUCAUCUAGUAAAAAUGAUGUAGACUUGUUGUGGCAUAAUAGGCUGGGACAUGUUCCUUUUGUUAAAAUGCAAAGCAUAUCUUCUAUCCCUUCUCAGUUUUCUUCCAAGAAGCCUCUUAUGUGUACCAUAUGUCCCAUGGCCAGACAAAACAAACUCCCAUUUCCCACAAAAACCACCGAAACUACCAAAAUCUUUAAAUUGCUUCACAUUGAUCUCUGGGGACCUUAUCAUACUUCAACAUAUAACAAUUACAAAUAAUUCCUUACCAUAGUGGAUGAAUUUAGCAGGUCCACUUAGACACACCUAUUAAGCUGCAAAAGCAAUACCUUGCAGGUUAUAAAGACCUUCAUCUCCUUGAUUGAGACUCAAUUUAAAACCACCUUUAGCUUGAGUUUUAUAGUACAGAACUCCACCUUGAGUUUCAAAGUGAGGGGUCGGCUAAUACAUGCUUGAUGCUCAUUUUUACUUUUAUUGAAUGUAGAGGGAAGAAAUUAGCAACAUGGUUGAAAGGGAUGGUUCUGCAGAAGGAUUAGUUUUUAGCUAGUUCACAUCGUUUUUGGAUUUGAUACAGUAUUCUCUUAAAGUAAGAUAUAACAGUACUUUCUCCUUCCUACUUUCCCUUCUUCCUUUCAGACUAACAAAAAAGAAGCGUGUAUUGUGUGUAUUCAGCUGUCAGGCAUCAAUUGUGUUCAAUUAGUAUCCAUGUCUAUUGCCGUAAGAGAUGCUGCAGUUAACAGAUUCAAUGAGGAUUCAGAUUGCAGGAUAUUGCUUAUGUGCUUGAAAUCUGGAGGUGUUGCCCUCAAUCUUACAGUUGCUUCACAUGUAAGGAUCUAUUUUCUUUCUCUGGGUACCUCCCUAAAUUCUUAAUUCUUGUGCAUAUCUAAUGUUGCAUUCCUAUUAUAUUUCCUGUUAUUUAGUUCAUUUGAUAUACAAUUAUGACUUUUGUUUAUCUGUUGAAUAGCACAUGCUUGGUGGCUCAUCUCUUAAUCCUUUCUAGGAUUUCUUAAUGGAUCCUUGGUGAAAUCCUGCGGUGGAUCAGCAAGCCCAAGAUAGAAUCCAUCGAAUAGGGCAAUAUAAACCAGUCAAGUGUGUGUUGUGUUUCUUCUGCUUUGGAUGCCAUUGAAUGGGAGCUUAUUGUUGUUUUCGAAUUUGCAGGAUUGUGAAAUUUGUGAUAGAGAAUACAAUUGAAGAGAAAAUCUUGGAGUUACAAGAGAAGAAGAAAUUACUUUUUGAAGGGCAUGUUUGUUUUUCUUAUAGUCGUGUACAUAGUUGCAUAUGUGUUCUGACAAAAAUGAAGUAUUUUGAUGAUUUUCCCUUGCAAGUUGUUAUUGUCAAUCUUUUUAUUAGAUUCCUUCUUUGCUCCCUUCCUCCGUUCUUUCUCUAGAAAAUCAUUUUCCCCUAGCUGUUCGUUUUUCCUCUGAUUGCAGGACAAUUGUUGGUUCUUCAGAGGCCUUAGGAAAGCUAACAAACGAGGACUUGACAUCCCUGUUCUAUUAUCACUAAUUGACAUUUGCAUUGUUCAGCUUCUAGCAAAAUUCUGUACAAAGUGUUCUGACAUUUGCUUUUAGGCUUUAUGGAGUUUGAUGUGUCCAAAGAGUGUUUCUGUUGUUUUUGGCUGUAUGGACUUGACAUGUGCUUUCUUUGGUUUCGUUUUAAAAGAGGAUUAAACUGCUAAAGCUUAUAUACGACUACUUACUAGUUACUACAAAUAGAAACUGCCAAUAAACUGAAAGUUACUAACCAGAGACAAAAGUAACUAGCUAUACAAGUCACGAAUACAGAGAUCAUAAACAAAAGAAAGCAAGUGACAACAAAAAAUGUGAAAACUAGUACUCUCGUAGUUACAUUACAAUCAUCCAAAACAUGAAUUAGAAAGUUUUCCACACCACACUUAGACAGUGCACUGUCCCCAAUGCACAUCAAGUGAAGUACAAAACAGAGAGCACCAGCAUAUAUUCCUAUCUUCUCAUCCUCAGGACCCUCUACGAGUUGAUAUCCAAAAAAGCCUGAGAAGCUGGGAUAUUCUUAUCUCCCACAUACUACUCAGGACUGGACCUCUUUGGUGGUCAGACGAAUUUCUUACCUUUGGAGCAAUUGGUCCAGACCGUCCGCCCCAUUAUUAAUUACUUUAGCUUAUUUACAAAAUACUCAUGAUCAACUUAGGAGCUCGGAUUCACAUUCAGGCAAUUCAAAGAACAUCUAACCAGCAGAGAACUUUGUGCUUGUGUUCACAAGUGAAAGACUGUCUCACGGUGAGACUCUCACCCUUACAAAAUUUAGUUCACAUGCCAUCAUGCUAGAUAUAGGAAUUUGGGGAUGCCGGAGCUGGCUCAUGAAGGAUAGUUCAUGAACAAGAUCAGAGAAAAUACUCCCUUCAUCCUAAUUUAUGUGCCAACUUCUUGAAAUUUGUGAUGUAAAACAAAUGUUAUAUAUUUAUGUGGUUAUAGAGAAGGGCCUAUGCUACACAAAUAUUUGAAUUGGUACAAAACUACCUUUCCUCCACCUUUUUUCCCUAAAAUACUCCCGGCGUCUACCUUUUGGCUCAAAAAUACCCUCGAUGUUAAUCAAUUGGCUCAUGUUUGCCCUUAUUUUUAAUAGCCCCCUUAAAGUAAAAUUAUUAAAUAUUUAUUUAUUAUGUUGCCUAAUGUAAAUGGUCCAAAUUUAAACCCUUCUCAAAUAAAUAAUAAAAAUCAUAUUUUAAAAAAAAAAAAAUUUAAUAAAAACACAUAUAAUUCAUAUUUUGACUCGAUACACUUGAAAAUAAGAUUGAAAAAAAAUAUUAAUUUAAUGAUAUUUUCCCAUUGGCAUAUUUUAAAUCAACCCCAAAUUUAUUAUAACUCAACUCAUAAAUGGGGAUCCAAAUAGAAAAAAAUGGAAGAGAUAAGAAGUGAAGGGGUGGGGAGGAGUGUAGAGAGUAGAUGCCUAACUUUUUUUUUAUAUAUUUUUAAUUUACUAUGAAAUUCAAAAUCAAAUCAAUCAUAUAUUAAGUAAUUUCAAAUUAUUUUAAUGGAAAAAGGCUUAAAAUGCCCUUAAACUAUGAGAUUUUGUACAAUAUUGUGCUCCAUCCACCUUAUGAGUAUGAUUGUUAGAUAUAAGAGUAUUUUUGAGCCAAAAGAUUGGUGUCAGGGUUAUUUGGGGGUCCAAAUUGAGAGACAUUUUAGGCCCUUUUCCGAUUAAUUAUUAAGGUAAAAGGAAAAUUUUAAAAUAAAUUGUUUCUAAUUUUAAAAAGUUAACAUUUUUUUUUAAGAAACAUUUUUGUCAAAAGAGAUAUCAACUACUCGAAUCAUAUAUUAAGAAACCGAGAGAAACUUGAUCUUUUUUAUUGCUCGCAGAAAACAACAAUUUCAAAUAGUAUUUGAAAAGCACUAGUUUAGCCCGUUUGGCCAUGCUAUAUGGUAUUAUGAUAUGGAAUCAUGAGAUGAAAUUGAAAUUUUGUUUGGACAUGCGAUAUGUAAUUUUUGUGUUGUAUAUUUUCUCAUAAAUAUAAAAAUCUCAUAAGUUGUAAAACUAUUAAAAUAGCCCCAAUUGUUUAUUCAAUCUUAUCAAAUAAACAAAAAAUUAUAAAAUCGCAUAAUAAAUUAUUACAAAGCUAUUUGUUCUCCAUUUAAGUAAUUGUUUCAUCUAACUUUAAUUUAAUAAAAAAAAAUUGAACAUAAAUUGUAGUGUACUAGUCUUUAAUAUAAUCCUCCCACAUAGUACGGACAAUUUCCUCACGUUAAACUUGCAUUUCUCGAUCAUGUGACUGAGAAGACGAACCAACAUUGUUACUUUGAGUCAUUUGUUGGUCAAUAUCGUCCGCAGCUAUAUUUUCAUGCUCAUAGACCAUAAAUAUUUCAUCACUUUAAUAAUCGGUUGGUGUGAGUUAAAGUGACUAUGUGUCGGUGAGAAUAAUAAAUUUUAAAAAGUAAUGAUGUGAUUAUAAAUUUUAUUUACAUAUGAAAUAAAUGGUUAAUAGAUAUAAAUGUGAGGUUGUUUUAACAAAAUAUGAUCAACUUUUAUAUUAAAAUAUCUCAAAUCAUGAUAUGGAAUUCUCAUAUAAUUCCAUAUCAUGGUUUUUGGAGAAUAUGAAAUCACAUCUCAUGAUAUGAAAUCAUGAGAUGAAAUCAGCGUAAAAUCACAUGUUCAAAUGUUGAUUCCAUUUUACGAUACCAUAUUGCAUGGCCAAACGCCUGCUAAGUAAAAUAACAUCAACUAAUUAGGACUACUAAAGUUAAGUUAACCGGAAACUUAAAAGACUUUUCUUCCCAUAAAACUCUUGAGUCUUUUGAGUCGUUACUUCGCCUCCAGAAAGUACGAAGAGGAUAUUUUCCCUUCUCCUUCUUCCAAAGCUCUUGAAUUUCUUGUAUGAAAUUGGAUGAUUUUGAAAUGCCCAAAAAUGAAUGAUGUGUAAAUUUGAAUACCCUAUUCCUUUAAUUUUCUCGUAUUGCUGUCAAAUUCCUUAUCUGAAAUUCCAUUACGUAUUGAGAAGGAUAGAAAUGAGGAAAUAUGAAGGUAAAGGGAUACGAAAGAAAAGGAGAUACUGGAAGAUGAUAGAGAAUACGACUACUACAACACAUUGUACCAUAGAAGCAGAGCACAGUUCGGUAUGUAUGCUAUCUCUCUCUGAUAUUUCGUUUUCAAGCUCCAGUCAGGGUUCCGCUGCUCCCUUCUCUGUCACUAGGGCUAUUUGCUUAGAUUUGAAUAGGUAUGCUAAAUCUGUCAACUACCUGUUACACAAGGGUAAACAACACCAGUUCAUAAUGUCUAGAGAAGAAACCUCAAAAGCUUUUGUUUGAAUAUCUUUUUCUAAUUUACCGCCAUAGUUAUGUACAAACAGUCUCGUUACUAUCCAUUGCGUUGGCACCGGGUAAGCCAAUUAAUAUUGAUAAAGAAACCCAAGAGAAGUCAAGACCAAACACAACUAGGGUUGAAGUCGAACUGGAUUUAUUGGCUAAGCUGCCACAACGAAUGAAACUUCAACUUUCAACUUUUGUAAGCACCAAGGCCAUAAUAAAAGUGAAUGUCGAUUGCUAUUGAUAAAGAAUUCAACAAAAAAUCAAGAAGAAGCAUCGAAAAUUGGAACUUCUUUAGAUGCCAGGGACAUAUUAGAUGCAAAGCGAGCUGGUAAUGAAAUUAUACUAGUUGGUAAAUUUUGAGCAGCAUUCUAAUUUUGAAUAUUGUUGCUUCUACAUGUAUUAUGGAUGUGCAAAACGAGCUUACAGGAGAUGCAAUUUGUGUAUCAAAAUCUAGGAAUCAACAGGUGAUCGCCAAAGGGAUCAGUUGGCUACUAUUGCUACUAAAAUGGGUGAAAAUGUAGGUGAAGAGCAUGCUUGGUUGACUGCUGCUGGUGUAAUUGAUCAAGCUUUAGUUGCGGCACGGUUUAUCAAAAAUUCUGGGCAACAAGUACAUCAAUUUAACAAUGUGACUGAAAGGAAAUUGGUACAGAAUUCAAAUUGGAUUUUGGUGACAAAGAAAAAGCCUCCAGGUGUUAGAAUUGGUUCACCAAUUCAUAACACAAUGCAACAAAUUGUAGGAGGUUCCGUGUCUCUAAACUUUUGAUGCUCUUUCGGAUAAUAUUGUGUAGUGAGAUCAAUCCAACAACUUCUAAAAUGGUUAUCGCUAAUCAAGAAGUAAUUAAUACAUUAAAGGAAAAUCAGUUUGCUACUAUGAUUAAUUCCAUUCCAGAAAACAAUCUACCACUUGUCAAUUUAAAUGCCUUGGUACAGGAGAUUCCUCGCCAAUCAUUGGAAUAUUAACAUAGAUAUUUGAGGCAGCAGCUAAUGUCUACAAGGAAUGACCAAAAUGUUGAGAAAGGUAAGAUCUCAAUUUCUCAGACUAACUCUAAAAUUGAAAUGGUUAUUUCUAAUAAGGAACACCAAGGAGCGACAAGUGCUUUGAGGUGGGCAUAUAUAGUAGGUGAAGAGGAAGAGCGGGUCACUUCUCCUAUGCACAUCAAAUUAAACCCGGCAGCUCCUACUUUUGUUCCUAGAAGUGCCAAACCAGUAAUGCCUGUGAAGUUUUGCCAUCAACUGAUGUUGCUGCAAUUUUAAGUGAUCAGUUGGUGAUUUCCGAUGUUGAAAAGUUUACUUUUUUAACACCUAUUAACACAAAAAAACAACUACAAGUUGGUGGUGGUAGCCAUUUGUCUCCAAAUAGAUUUGAUAACCUUCAAGAUGAGGACAUCUUUGAGGAAGGUGAAGAAGAGGAUGUGUUGGAUCAUUAUUUUGCAAAUGUAGCUAGGAAUGCAGAUAUUUCUUCUAGGUAACAACUGCUUUGCUAGUCUUUGUUUUGGUCUUGAAAAAAUAACUCUCUGAUCUGAUGUUGGAAUGUUGGAAGUUGAUACUGUUUGUUCAUUAGUUCUUUUUUUUUUGACAAGUUUAAAGUUUUAUUUAAGCAGUACCAAGAUGGUACAGAAAGGAGCAAAAUACAGAGAAUAAAGCACAGCCUACUACACUCUCCUUCCUAACAAGGUCUAAGAAGUCCAUAUACUGAUUCAGAUUCACUAGUAGGCCACUUUUACACCAAAGUACAAAUUAGUUUUUUCUUUGCCACCCAUCAUGUUAUUCUUUCGCUUUUUACUUGUAAAACUCUAAAACUAAGUAAUAUAAUCUUGGGUUAUAAGCAUGAAACGUAUUCCAUUUGCAGAUACUGUGUCGUGGUUGUUCUUCAAGCAUGUUCUCAAAUGCUGUAUUUACAAAUCCACAAGGGAAAGAAAUAUAACAAAAGGGUCCCAACUUCCAGACAAAAAAAGUAAAAUCUUGGCGUUCAUGCCUACAUGCUGAAUAUUUACAUCCUUGCACAACUUUGCUUUCACAGAUAGUGAUCUUCAAAGUUAGAGAAGUACAUGUCACAUGUGAAAGCAGUACGCAAAUGUGCUUCUUAAGUCAACUUUCUUUCAUCAAACAAAAAAGUUUUUUUUUUUUUUUUGGAGAAAGGAAAAAAAUGNNNNNNNNNNNNNNNNNNNNNNNNNNNNNNNNNNNNNNNNNNNNNNNNNNNNNNUAUUCUUCAUAAAUGCCAAUCAAGUUCAAACAAAGCUUGAACUUGCUGACUGGAAGAGACUUCGUGAACAUGUCGGCAGGGUUGUCUCUUGUGUUAAUCUUCUUAACAGAGACCUUUCCUUCUGCAAUGGUUUCCCGAAUGAAGUGAUACUUGAUAUCAAUAUGUUUCGUCCUCUCAUGAUACAUCUGAUCUUUAGUCAAGUGAAUGGCACUUUGACUAUCACAGAAAUUGAUAAUACCACCUUGGUGUAAGCUAAGUUUAGCAAAUAGACCCUUCAACCAUAAUGCUUCUUUGAUCGCCUCGGUCAUUGCCAUAUAUUCUGCUUCGGUAGUAGAUAAAGCUACUACAUGUUGUAAUGUAGCUUUCCAGCUGAUAGCACAACCACCAAUGCAAAAAACAUAGCCUGUUAGUGAUCUUCUUUUGUCAAGAUCACCUGCAUAAUCAGAGUCUACAAAACCAACCAAAGUGUUAGGAUUUCUCCCAAACUCCAAACAUGUGUUUUGAAGUGCCUCGCAAGUAUCUAAGGAUCCAUUUCACAGCCUGCCAAUGUGCUUUACCAGGGUAAGCCAUAUACCGGCUUACCACACUUAUUGCUUGUGAAAUGUCUGGACGUGUACACACCAUUGCAUACAUAAUACUGCCAACAACACUGGAAUAUGGUACUUGUGCCAUAUAUCUCUCUUCUUCCUCUGUCUGCGGCGAUUGAGCAGCUGAUAACUUAAAAUGAGCAGCAAGAGGAGUACUCACUGGUUUAGCAUCUUUCAUGCCGAACCUCUCCAAGACCUUCUCCAAGUACUUCUUCUGGGUCAGGAAUAACCUUUUGGUUCCUCGAUCUCUUUUGAUCUCCAUGCCAAGGAUUUUCUUAGCUGCUCCUAAAUCUUUCAUUUCAAACUCACUUUUCAGCUGACUUUUGAAAGUGUGAAUUUCUGUCAAAUCCUUAGCAGCAAUGAGCAUGUCAUCAACAUAUAACAAUAAGUAAACAAAUGAACCAUCAUUUAACUUUCGGAAGUAAACACAACUAUCAUACAUGCUCCUCGAAUAACCAUGACCCAAUAUAAAGGAAUCAAACCUCUUAUACCAUUGUCUUGGAGAUUGUUUUAAUCCGUACAAGGAUUUCUUCAACAAGCAAACAUGAUCUUCUUUUCCUUCAAUUUCAAAUCCUUCAGGUUGAUGCAUGUAUAUUUGGCUAUUGAAUAUAUAUACACGAAAAUACCCAUUAAUAUUUUGCCAUUUAUUUAACUCCAAUUUAUGUUUUUUUUUCUUUCUAAAAAGUAAGUCUAUCUUCUAAUAAAUAUAAAUAAAUAAUAAUAUAGAAAAUGAAUGACCUAGAUAAAUUAAAAGACAUAGAGUUAUGUGUAUUCAAUUUCUGUAAAUGCUUUAUCUUCUAUUUCCUAAUGCAAAAAGUAAAACAUCUCUUUGUAGUAAUAAACAUAUGGAGAAUUGGAAAAGUUACUUGGUAUAUUCAAUGUGGAGAGUAAAUUCUUUUGAUCAAUUCAAUACAAUAUAUUCAUUUACUAAAUGCUAUAUAUUGUGUAUACAUAGUGAAAAAUCACAAGAUAACUAUUCCAAUUCAUCAAAUUAUUAAUAUCAAUUCUACUUUGUGUAGGCGACAUUUUUUCAUAUUCAUUUUGUGUUUGUGUCUCUCUUUUCUACUUAUGUACUCUAUUUUUUCUAUUCACAUUAUAAGUUAUUGUCUUUAAUUCGACUUAUUCAUAUAUGUUUUUUAAUUAGUUGAAAGUUCAUCUUACUUGGGUACACAAACAUUUGUAUCAUAGUUAUUUUACCUCUUGCAACAUAGAAAUUUGUCAUGGAAAUACCAAAUCAGGUAAGGUUACUAUCUUUUUAAUUAUAACUUCUUGGAGUAUCAUGAAAUUGUAUAUUCUUGUUUGUGUAAAUUUUGGUUAUGAAUCAUUUUACAUAAUUUAACUAAUAUUUUAUUGUUAAAUUCAUAGAUGAUAGAACUAAUAAUUUUGAAUUAGGCAAGGAGUACACUUACCUAUAAUAAUUAUGUUUUAUAUACAUCGAUUAGAUAUCUGAGCAAUUAUUAUUUUUAUCACUAAUAAUAACUAUAUUUUUUUGUAGGUGUACACCAAAAAAUUGACAAUGAUCCACUAGCUAUCAUAAGAAAGGUAUGUGUUGAUCGAAUUUAUGUGCAAUUUUUACAAAACACAAUUCACGUUUGGUAACAACUUCUUGACCUAUAUAUGAUUGUAAUAAGGUGGAGGCUACAAUUUCUUAGAAAGAAGGCAAAAAUUUUAGAACACGAAAUAUUUUGAACCAAUAAGCGACACUUAAAUUAUGUGUUGUGACACAUUAAAAAAACUUUUAUCAAGUUGAGUACUUGAUAUAUUAAAAAAAUACAUAAUCGAAUAUUACUUUUGAAAUUCAUUUGAUAGCAAUAUUUCAGCAUGAUGUACCUUCUACUGAUAAUAAUCUUGAUUGAAUAGACUCACCAUUAAUUUGUUUAAGCUUGUAUAUUUUCUCUUCAAUUACUAUGCAAGUUAUCGCACAAUGAUCAUCUACUAGCCAUCUUAAGGAAGACACAAAUUGAUCUAAUUUCUAUAUAACUUUUGCAAAACACUACUCUCAUUCGACAACAACUUCUUAAUACAUAUGCAAAUGUGAAAAGGUGGAGACUACAGUUUCUUAAAAAGAAGAUGAAAAACCUAAGACAAGAAAUAUUUUGAAAUCACAUUUGACAAUUAAAUUAUGAGUUAUGCCAUAUUAAACAGAAGAAACUUUUAUCAAAUUGAAUACCUGAUAUAUUGUAGGAAUUGCAUAAUUGAAGUUAUUGGUUUGAGCUUGUAUAUUUCUCUUCAAUUUUUGUGCAACUUAUCACACUAUUAUAAUAUUUUAGAUAGAAUUAGUAUUACAACAAUUUAAUUAAAGUAUAUUCAUUUUUUGGCAAUUAUCAAAUUCAUGUGUGUUUAUGGACCGAGGGGAAGUUCCAAAGAUUUUUUUCUAAUCUAAUGUUUGUCUCAAGUCUAAACAGAGGUGGAUCCACAUUCAGAUUUGUAAUUCUACCACUUCCAUCUAAUUUAUUUAUUUGGUGAAGUUCUUAACAUAUAUACAUGGUGUAAGCCAGCUCAGAUAAAUCCAUAGCUUACUCAUACGAAAAAUACAAAAAAAGCCUGAGUUGUUUUGAACUAUACUUAACUUGGUUGUCAUUUUUGCAAAGUCAAUCUCAUGUCUGCUUAUCCUUGUCUCUUUAUAGUGCAAAAAUCUUCUCUGUUUUUUCGCUGAACAAUAUUCUCGUGUGAACAUAUAUCGCUUGCAACAGGUUUUGUUUUAACUGAACCAGAACCUUAUGGAAGGGACAAAGAGAAGAAUAAGAUAGUAAAAAUCCUUACAAACAAAGUUUGUGAUGUCCAAGAGCUUUCAGUCCUCCCAAUACUUGGUAUGGGGGGGCUAGGAAAGACGACUCUUGCCCAAAUGGUCUUCAAUGAUAAAAGAGUGAUUGAGCAUUUCGAUCCCAAAAUAUGGAUUUGUGUCUCAGAAGAUUUUGAUGAGAAGAAGUUGAUAAAGGCAAUUGUAGAAUCUAUGGAAGGAAAACCACUAGGUGACGGCAUGGAUUUGGCUCCACUUCAAAAGAAGCUUCAGGAUAUGUUGAAUGGAAAGAGAUACUUUCUCGUUUUGGAUGAUGUUUGGAAUGAAAAUCAAGAAAAGUGGGACAAGAUAAAAGCAGUCUUAAAGGUUGGAGCACGAGGUGCUUCUGUUCUAGCCACCACUCGUCUUAAAAGGGUUGGAUCAAUUAUGGGAACUUUGCAACCAUAUGAAUUGUCAAAUCUGUCUCAAGAAGAUUGUUGGUUGUUGUUCAUGAAACGUGCAUUUGAGAACCAAGAAAAAAUAAAUCCUAACCUUGUGGCUAUCGGAAAGGAGAUUGUGAAAAGAAGUGGUGGUGUGCCUCUAGCCGCCAAGACUCUUGGAGGUCUUUUGCGCUUCGAGGAACAAGAAAGAGAAUGGGAACAUAUCAGAGAUUGUUAGGAUCGAGAACUCGGGUAGUGCGGAAUUUAGCCAAACAAUGUUGUAAUGACAAUAACAAAGACAAUAGUAAGUUGAUAAUAACGAAAGUAAAGCAAUUUAAAGAAGACACAAAUUUAACGUGGUUCGGUCAAUAGACCUACGUCCACAAGCGGAGAGGAGCAAUUUCACUAUAUCAACAAGAGUACAAAAGAGAGUAUAGAAUUAGAGUAAAUACUCUAAUUAAUCCCAAAUACCCAAAGAGAAUAACCUCACAAGAUCACUCCAACAAAGGGUUCACACAAGUGUUUCCCAACACAAACUCUCCUACAAAAUUACUCUUAAUGGAAAGACAAAGAAAGAAAACAAUGAAAUAUUUUCAUAUGCUUCAAGGUGUGUUUCAACUAAUGUCUAAGCUCCCUAUUUAUAGAGAAAAAAAUAGGCUUGUUGAUGUCAUGGAUGAUGUCUUUGGAAGAUGCAAAAUAUUCAACAUCUCAAUGUGAAUAUAUCAACUAUGGUGGCUUCCAAAUCUUUGACAAAUAUAGUUGCCAAAUCUUGACAAAUAUGGCUACCAAAUUUCCACAUUUGUGGCUUCCAAAUCCUUCACAAAAGAAAGAUAAAAUAACUUUCUUUCAUCAAACAAAAAAGCCACAUUACAAACUCAAUAACAAAAAGAAGCAUAAAUGAAAUACUAGUUUGGAUGAUAAGAUGACUAAGGAAUUUGUUUCGAGGCACCUACCGAUGCGAUUGGCAAAACAGAAUCACAUGACAGUGUCAACAUAUCAAGAGCUAUUGGACAGAUUUGUAAAGGGAAGUUUGAGGUUGAUAACUCAACUUCCUUCGUGGCUUUUAUAAUUUUGCAUUAUUUAAGCAUCAUCAUAUGUAAUACCAUCAGAGAGUUCGUAAUAAACUGUAGCUCUUAUUUUCUUCAUGGUUGCUAAAAGUAGAGGUUCUUAGCCUCAUUAGGAUUGGUAAGGUAAGCUCUAGCCCCCCUUGCUUGUUCAAAUUCCAAUGGAGGAUUUUUAUUUAUUAUUAAUAAAAAACCACUAGACACGCUAUCUAGUGGUAAAUUUGAAGGAAAAAAAAAUUCUUCCUUCAAGUUCACUUUGCUUGUCUACGGCUGCGCCAGUUUUCUGGCCCAUUGUUUCUCUUUUUUGGCUGCAUAUCAUGUUUCCUACAAUUUCUUGUUCUCAAGUAGUUCUUGAACCCUUUGGGUUAGUUUCUUGGUUUUUAACUUAAAUCUUAUACGUCUUUUUCUUCCCAUAAAAUUCCCAAUCAUUUGUGUCAUUAACUUGCCAAAAAAGUAAGAAGGGAGCAAGGACAUUUUUAUUUCUAACUGUAUUAUACCCAUUUUGUAUUUUGUGCAGAUAUGUCCAGGCUGGAACUCUGAGGAAUAACUAUGGUCACAUUUUUGCUAUGAUCACACGCCUGCGGAAGGUACCAAGACAAUGCUUUAUAAAUGCUUGACAUGUGUGGAACCUUGAACAUUCUUCAUAAUUGUAGUUGAUGCUUGCACUCAUCUUCUUGUUUUUGUUUUCUAAUUGACUCUCUUCGCUGGUUCAAUUAGAGUGAAAAUGACAUUCUGCUCCUUGGAUAUAAAUUGAUAAGAACAAUGGCUUUCUUCUCCUCAUUCUUUUUCUUUCAACUUCUUUUCAUCUUCCUUUCUUUCUACCAAUUUCCAAUCUUCUUUUCUUGCAAACAUUCAUUUUCUGCUUCUUCGCCAUAGUGCUUUGGUUGACAAUACAUUUCUUAUGUAUGGAUAGAUAUGAAUGUGCUGCAACUUCUUUUAUUUUUAUCUUCUGUUUAAUAUCCCUUUCCUUCUGUAUAUAUAAACAUUUUCUUGGUAUAAUUUCAUCACUAUAGUAUUACAUUGUUUUAGACUUAAGUCUUGGACAACAACAAUCAAUUUGUCAGUGGAUAAAAGGGAUAAGUCAUAAGUAUAAGUACCCCCUAGACUAUGACCGAAAUUUCAGCGACACAACGAAACUUAACUAAGAUCCUAUAACCCCCUGACUCAUUUUUUUCGUAUUUUUGUGCACAUUUUAUGCUGAUGUGGCACCUUUAACCACCCAAGUUGGUUGUGUUUGUACACACUCUCCCACCACGUGUGUAAAUAUUAUUUUUUAAUUAAAUUUUUUUUUUUUAAAAUUUAAAAAUAUUCUUAUUUUUUUUAUCUUGUCUUUAAAUUAAGUUAAUACACAUUUUUUUACGUUGUAUCGAAACUUUUUUUUAACCUAAAUUCAUUUUUUUUCUUUUUUAUUUUUCUAUUGAUUAUUUUUUCUUUGUCUUUCAUUUUGAUUUGAUUUCAAAUGUCUUGUAUUUAAAAUAAGUUAAUUUUGAACAGAUAUCAAAAUAAGUGAAGAAAAUCAAAUAAAACAUAAAAUAAAUUAAAACGUUAAAAUUAAAGGACACUUUUAAAUUAUUUUUAAAAAAUAAUACACAUAAUUUUUUUAAAAUAAUGAAAAGUGAAAAGAUAAUAAAUUAAAUAAAAAAAGUUUAAAGUGAAAAGAAAUAAAAAUAAAUAUUUUACAAAUAAAGAAAUAAAAAUAAUUAAAUAUAUAUAAGUUUUAUUAUCAAUAAAUAUGUGUACUAACUAAUUAUAAAGUCACCAAUAAAAAAAUGACAUGUGUCCCAUUUGUGCAAUCAUCACUUGCCUUCAAGAGAGUGUGCACACUCUCUAUGCCAUGUCAGCGUUUGUGGUGUAUUUAUUCCAUUUUAAAUUUGUUUAGGGGGGUAAUAGGACCCUAGUUAAGUUUUGGUGUGUCUCUGAGAUUUCGGUCAUAGUCUAGGGGGGUACUUAUGCCUUGUCCCGUGGAUAAAAUAUGUAAAAUCUGUGUAAAGAUUGAACUAAUGAAAGAGUUAUUUGACGUGCAAUCCAACUUAUCAGGCGACUGCUAGAGGUGUUAUUAAACGUAGUUGUUUGCUUAAAUUAUUUUCUCAUGUCAAAUGAAAUAUUUUGUGCUUUUCUUUUUUGUGAACUUAAUGUUGAAGUAUUUGUCUUACUAUGGUCAUCAGCCAAAUUUGAUUGUCGCAAAUGUUUGACCAAUGUCUUUCUUUAAUCGACAGGAAGUUGAUCAUCCUUACCUUGUGAAGUUUUCUACCAUAGAAUCGGCUAUUACAGUAAAGAGGCUUGAGAUGUUGAACAAUCGUGUGACUUGUGUCAUGAUUCAGUAGUGAGUUUGUGAACCUGUACCCCCUCCCCCAAAACCAACAACAACAUACCCAGAGAGGCUGUUUCUGAAAGACCCUCGGCUCAAGUGCAUCAAACCCAAGUAAUAAAGGAAGGAAACCAUGAAGAAAGUAUAACAGUUAAUAAAACAAUAGUGUAAAGUCUACAAGAAAGAACUCAGUGUAUGGCUAGUACUACAACAAGCAAAGAAACUAGUGUAUGACUAGUACUACAACAAGCACUAACAAGCCUAAGCAGGACACCCUCUAACCCUACUAACCUUCUAUUCUAAUACGUAACCUCCACUCCUUCCUAUCUAAAGUCACGUCCUCAGUAAAAUGAUGUUGCGUCAUGUCCUAUCUAAUCAUCUCUUCCGAAUACUUUUCUCGGCCUACCUCUACCCCUCUGCACACCCCAACUACAACCAGCCUCUCGCAUCUUCUCACUAGGGCGUCGUCACACCUCCUCUGCACAUGACCAAACCAUCUUAGUCUCACUUCUCUCAUCUUGUCUGCCAUAGAGACCACUCCCACUUUCUCCCAGAUAACCUCCCUCCAAACCAAGAAAAAGGAAAAAAGGAGAGAAGAAAUGGAAAGAAACACAUCCAAAAACAUGUUACUUAGUUUAAGUUUAAUUUGAUAGCUCUCCUCGUUUUGCAUUUACUAAAUUAUUUUUUUGUUGACCAUUCAAGGUCCAAGAACUUCGAGCAACUUCAAAUUUAUCAUUGUCAGCCUGAUAUUAUAUGUACACUCCUUAAAUGCCAUUUAGUUGUGUUGAACGGUUUUAAAUACUUUUUCCUUAAAAUUGUCUAGAUCAAUUUCGAAAAAGAACAGGUUUGUUGGAGAGGACAAUUUUUUUAUUACUUUAUUCACCCAUUAAUAUUAAUAUGUAUGAUGAUUGUAAAGAUAUGACAUAUGGGCCUAACUUAUUAGGGGAGAAUUUAUCAAGUCAAUAUAAGUAAACCACCAAUCCAUUCUCCAAUCAAUGUGAGAUUCUACCUACUUUAUCAUUUCUUCAUUCCCAGGCCCAACCAGAGUGUGGACCGGGAGCCCAAAUGGGGAUGGACCUGGCUUUGAUACCAUGUAAAGAUAUGACACCUGGGCCUAACUCAACCCCAAAAGCUAGCUCAUGAGGAGAGGAAUGCCCAAGUCUAUAUAAGAAGACCACCAGUCCAUUGAUGGAUAUCAGUUUCUAAGCAUCAAAAAAACAACAAGCCCUAAUUUCUCUCUGCUUUUUGGGAAAAUGAAUCCGCCAAUUCCAGGUUCUUCUUCUUUGUCUUGUUUGUUUUUCUUCUGAAGCUCUUCAAUCUUGAAACCUUGGUUGAAAUUGAAUGAUUUUGAAAUGACCCAAAAUAGAAAAUAAUGAAUGACAUGUAAAUUAAAAUACCAUGUGAAUGUUGUGCCCUAGCGAUGAGUUGUUGUCUUUAAUUUUCUCCUAUUUUUAAUUUAUUGAUGUCAAAUUCCAUAGGGGAGAUCCAUCUUGAAAUGCUAACACCUAUAAAUGCUUUGAAUAGUUCGCGUAAUUAUCUAACUAAAUUGAUAGUUGUUCAUGUUACUGAAGAUCAAAUGGACCAAGAUACGGAUGCAUAUCAUAGAUUCUAUGGCAUGGUGAGAAGGAUAAAAAUGAGGAAAGAUGAACGUGAGAGAAUGCAAAAGAUAAGAAGAUCAGUUUUGACAUGGGAGUUACUGGAACAAGAAAUGGAUGAAUUCCUUCUGGAGAAUUAUUCAGAUGAUUUAGACUUGGAUAUUCAGAACGUCUCGUUUGCUGAAACUGCCGAGGCACCAUCAGAUUUGAUCUUGCCACUAUUGAGGUACCAAAAGGAGUGGUUGGCUUGGUCAUU
This 70016-nucleotide long non-coding RNA is filed under the name Solanum tuberosum (potato). RNAcentral's name for it is "long non-coding RNA (STUB_LNC007621)". The record is from RNAcentral. Lineage: Eukaryota; Viridiplantae; Streptophyta; Magnoliopsida; Solanales; Solanaceae.